CUCUCUCUCUCUCUCUCUCUCUCUAAAUUAGACAGCCACUUCGUAAGUAAUUUCAUUGUCCUUUCACAAGAAGCUUCUUUCAGCGAGUAAAUUAGUCCUCUUUAACACUUUACCGAGACAAUUGCCCAACGAAGAUAUAUGGAAAGCACUCCUCUAUAUGACUCCCAAGCGGAGCCCACUUACCAUUGCUUGCUCAAGGUCGGUGCAUGUUCUUCGUUGGCCCUUCAUGUUUCCGGGGAAAAAAGGAAAAAAAAAAAAGAAAAAGAAAAAAGGAAAAACAAAGAGGCCAAAUUAAUGAUACCGGUUUUUAAUGCGAGCGAGGGAUAAUGAUAAUUCAGCACAGGCAGGUGUUGGGUUACAGAAUGGAAUUUCUCUCUCCCUCCCAAUCAGGUAUGUUUCGUUUAAUUCAUUUUUUAAGCUGUCGAUCAUAGAUGCUUUAGUUAGGACUUGAUAUCUACGCCUUAUCAUUAGUACUGUGAUCAUCAGCAGAAGCUUCAUUCUGAUUUGUGACUAAUGCCAUCAAUUAACUAGCUAGUUGUUCUUCUCUUUAAUUUUCUUCUUUCUUAAUUUUAAGGUACUCUCCUAUGUUUGGCUUGUCUGCUUCUAAAUCUAACUGCCAAAGUAAUAUUACCCUUUUCUAUAGACAGUGCAUGCAUUUCUCCAUGUGGUUUAUAUUGUAGAUGUUAAGCAAUAAAACAUGAUUGAGAUAUCUCCAUCUUCUCAACAACCAGACAGAAUUUAUUAAGACAGAUGACAUAGAGGUUUCGAAUGCUGUAAGGUGAACCAAUUGCACACAGGCAUUUGAUUUGAUACUUGUUUAAAAGAGGUAGUAGGAUGGUUAUACAUAUUAUGGCGGUAAUCAACAUAGCAACAAAAUGAAAAUAAAGAUAGAGAAGAAAUAUCUUUAUUAAGAUGGCGAAUAAUUAAUGAGUUCUUGGCACAGUUGCACUACGUAGAAGCUGUAGCCUUUUAUAGUGCUCAACUUGUACAUAUUGGAUAACUAAAAAAUACCAAACUCCAAACUUAUUAACAAUCUAGAAGUCAGUCCUUUAUAACUAUAAAACAAAAAACAAACCUAGCUAACGAUUCGAUCUUAUCACUAACAAUGAUUUGAUCUUAUCUUUAACAUGCCCCCGUAAGGUCAAAUUCAGUGAUGCCAAGUCCUUCACAACAUCAAACAAAUUUUUCUAACGACAAUGGCUUGGUGAAAAUACCUGCAAGCUGGUUUUAAGUAGAAAUGUGAACCAACUCAACAUUGUCGUCUGCCACUUUAUCUCGAAUGAAGUAGUGACGGAUCUCAAUGUGCUUGUGCGACUGUGGUGUACCGGAUUCUUUGGUAUAGCAAUCGUCCACCAGUCGCAAUAGAUAAUCGUCGGGUUCAUUUGCUUCUGAUGCAAUUCGUAUACAAUCCAACGUAACCAAACUACUUGGCACGCUGCAUCGGUGACUACAACACACCCAGCCUUGGAAGAUGAUACCGUCAUCAUGUAUGUUGUUUCUUUGAGAACCAACACACCGUACUCGAACUGAACUUGAACACGAGUCCGCUUAUGCUUCUCUGAUAGUCAAUAGAACCUACCCAAUAUAUCACUAUCAGAAAAAUCAAAUAAAGAAAAAAAAUGUUAGUGUAAGUGAACCAUAAUCGAUGGCCACUAGUCGUUUUCAAAUAUCUCAAUAUCUGCUUUGCAGCCCAUGUGAAUCUUGCUAGAAUAUUCCAUAAAUUGUGGAAGGAGGCUUUUUGUAAAUAUAAUGUCUGGCCUGGUGUGAAUCAUAUAUAAUAAGCUCCCAAGGAAACUCCCAUAUACAUUACUGUUGACUUUUUCUACACCGUCUUCAAUUGAAAACUUCAUAUUGGUUCACAUAGGAUUUGCCAUCGGAUUAGAAUCCUUCAGUCCAAAUUUGUCAAGCAAAUUAGUUAUGUAUUUCUUUUGCAACACAAAAAUUCCUUUUUUACUUAUACUACUUCGAGCCCCAAAAAAUAAUUCAUUAAACCCAAAUCAGUCAUUUCAAACUCGUGUCAUAUGACUUUUAAACUCAUCAAUUAGCUUUUAAGAGUUACCGACGUAUAUUAAAUCAUCUACACAAAGAACACAGUCAAAAUUUUUAUAUCUUUGGUCUUCAAGUAAAGCGUGGGCUCACUUUCACUUCGGUGAAAACCGCUUUGCAAAAUAUGAGCAUCGAUUUGGUUGUACCAAGCCCAUGGUGCUUACUUGAGGCCAUACAGUGCCUUCAAGUCUGUAUACAUUAUCGUUCUUUCCUUCAACCUUAUACCCCCGAGGCUACUUAACAUAAACUUUAUCAUGCAAAACAUUGUUUGAAAACAAGAUUUAAAAUCAAAAUGAAAAGCCUUCCAACUGAACUGUGCUGGUAGAACUAAAACAAUUCCAAUAGUAUCAAAACAUGCAACUAUAGCAAAAGUUUCAGAAAAAUCAACACCUUUGAGUUGCAGAUAGCCUUUUCCUACGAUCCAUGCCUUUAACUUCUUAACAGAUCCAUCAAGUUUGAAUUUGUUCUUGUAGAUCCACUUUAGAUUAAUUGCUUCAUUAUUUCGGGGUAGUUCUACAAGUUUCCAAGUCUGCUUAUGCUUUAGUGCAAACAUCUCAUCUAUUGCUUUACACCAAUCUGACGAUUUAGCCGCAUCUUCGAAUCCUUCAGGCUUAAGUGUCAAGCCAAAUUGACAUCUUUCCAUAUUUUCAUAUAUCUCUUAUAGCGACAUCACCUUAGAUAGUGCUGAAGAACUUAUCGAAGAAUAGGGUGUGCUUUGCUGUUAACCUGAGUUUCUUCUUCAAUCAAUCUUAUAGGGCAAUCAUGCAAAACUUCAUUCCUGUCCUAACCUUUUUAUUCAUCAAAAAUCACAUCUCAACUGAUAAUCAACGAAUUCGUAGCAGGAUUAAAUAAUCUAUAUGCUUUACUUGUCACUGUACCUCACAAAAGUACACGUUUGGGGAUUAUCAUCUAAUUUUUGUCGCUUCUUAGAUCGAACAAGAAUCAAAACCCGCAUACCCACAAAUUCUAAAAUAAUUUACCUUCGGCUUUCUUUCGGGUCCAAGCUUCAUAUGGAGUAGCUCUCCAAAAAUGAUUAGGACUCCAAUUUAAAAUGUGCGUUGUUGUGGAGAUUGCCUUUGCCCAAAACAUAUUUGGCAGUCCUUUAGCCUUCAACAUGCUCUUCAGCAUCUGGACUAGACUUCUAUUUUCCUUUCCGCAACCCUAUUUUGUUGUGGGGUGUAACUUGUUGUCAGUUGCCUAAAAGUUCCAUUUGCUUCACAAAAAAGCUUCAAAUUCGUUAGAAAUAAAUUCACCUCCUCUGUCUGUACGAAGAGUUUUAAUUUGAAAGCCUAAUUAAUUCCUUCUCAAUCAUAUUUUUGAUUUUUUUAAAGAUAAGAAAGCAUCACACUUAUGUCUUACAAAAUCCACCAAUGUCCUACAGCUAAAAUCGUCAACAAACACAAGAUAAUAAAAAUUAUUAUUCAAAGACGGUGUGUGCAUUGGCCAGACAAACGUUCGCAUUUACGAGCACCAGAGGCUUCUUUGCUCUCCACAUGCUUUUCUUCGGAAAUAGAGAUUGAUGAUGCUUCCCUUAUUUGCAACUUUCAGAAAUCAAGUUACUUUGUGCAAUUUGCGGUAAUCCAUCAACCAUCUCUUUUUUGUACAAGAUCUCUAAUUUGUCAAAACUGGAAUGCUCAAACCUUUCAUGCUACAACCAAUUUUUAUUAAUAGAUACUCCCAUAGCUAGAUUUUGAAAAUCAUUAAAAUAAUUUUUUUUCAUCAUGGCAACUUUAACAAGCAAUUCUUUUCUUUCUAUUCUUGAAAAUGAGGCAUUUACAAUUCUCAAACACCAAAGAAUAUACAAAUGUAAGAAAUUGACCACCACUAAAUAAACUUGUAAUUAAGCUAGAAACAGAAAGAACAUCCGAUAAUUUUGUAAUACCAACAAAGUUUACCUUUUACAACUUCUUUACCUCAUUCUUCAUGAUUAAGAUCGUCUUCCAUUUUUACCGGCUUUCAAACUGAUCUGUCCAACUCGAUAAAUAUAUCUUCUCUUCCUAUCAUGUGAGCACUACAACCACUAUCCAAAUACCAAAUAUUUUUUCAGUCUGUAUUUUCGAUAUAGCAAGCAAAAAGAACAUCAGAUUCAAAAUAGUUAGCAUCAAUUUGAGCAUUGUUUUCCUUUUCUCAUCGACAAAAUCUUUCUAUAUAGGCAUAUUUUCUUACAAUAAAAAUAUUGGAUAUUCUUAAAGGUGUUAUCUCGUUCAGAGAUGUAAGGUUUGUUGCUAUUUCGCUGAUCAGACCCUUCAGAUCUACCUCCACCUCCGUUUUCUUGACCACGAUCGCGACCUUUUCGACGACCAUGGUUUGAUGAAACUUGCCGACUAUAAUAUGCACCUCCUUUGUCCCUACCUUUUGACACAUUCAAAAAAGCAUUCUCUAUUGAAUUUUCAUGAGGUUUGUCGAUAUGAUCCUCAUGUGAUAAAAGAGAGCGCAAAAGGCCAGUAUAAGAAUAUUUAGUUGUGAGACCCCAGGUAGUCCUAUAUAUAAGAUAUAAUAGGGCUCAAACUCUUAACCCGGCUUAAGCAUUUUGGAUGGUGGCUAGGCUUAAGAGGUUAAGAAAAUUAAGCGUGCUAAGACGGGAGUAGUCCUAGGAUGUUGACCCCCUGGGAAGGCGGGGUGUCACAGUUGAUACAAGAGUCAAUUACCAGCCGAAAGUGUGAAAUAAGUCUCAGCUAAGCCAGGAUUAUACAGUGGGGAAAGCGAGGCUCUCAUACUGUUGACUGUUGUGGGUGGAGCGUAGCUCACCAUAAGGUCGGUUUAGGCUAGCGAGAUGAGUCUCACAUUGUUACGCUCUGCGACCGCCAAUUUGGUCGGUUCGGGUACAUUGAUCAGACGCCAAAUGGAUGAGCCUCCCCUGUCCGCCAAAGGCUAACAACAACGAGAUCAUGUAUAUAAACAGUUGCCCAGAAAACAUUAACCUCAUACAUGAUCUAAGUACUAAUACAAGCAAUCAACAAAAGAGAGAAAGAUCUAGCUAUUACAAGUUCAUUCAACAUAUACAUCGAGUUUACAUUUUUCAUCUCCAAAAUGUAUACAUGUUCAUCCACAACUCUCUAAAAUACAUAUACAUCAUGUCCUCUCAUCUAUACAGAGUGUACUAAUGUAUAAAGGAAAGCUGCUAGCUAACUAGGGCGCUAUGCCCUUCCCGUGGCCUCGCCCGGUUAGCUCGAACUCGGCCCUGCAACAAAGUGGGAUGAGAACUAUAUAAAUAUAGUUCCCAGUGGGUUCGGCCGCCGACUUCGCCGAUCUUCCCACUAGGUCUAAGCAGGCAUAAGUAGAUAGAUAGAUAGAUAUGAAAAUAAGCUGCUACAUAGUAACGAAAUCUACAACAUGUUACUAUGCCUCAAUAAAUAGAAUGAAUGCAUGACCAUAGUAAUGUACUCUACUAAUAUGAUACUAUGUCUCAAUCUGCAAGGUAUAAAGAAAAUGUCUACAUAGUAAUGAAACCUACUAUCAAAUACUAUGUCUGAUAUCCAAUCUCAUCUCGGCUAAUCCGGAGGUUACGCCCAAACUCACAUCUCAAAUCUUGCCGAUGGGUAGACUCUGCGCUACACACACCCGAGAUCGUCUGCUGGGUAAUCAAGUUACCCAAACGCGACGAUGACUCCGGAGCUUACUACUUGGGGUGGAGCGACCACGCCAAGAUUAUACAGACUAUGUGAGUACGAUCCAAUCCUCUCACUCGAGGAUAGUUAGUGCCUCUACUGCACUAGUUCACAUGCUACUACUCAGGCGCCUGAAGGUUUUAGGCGGGAACGGUUGAGAAGUGGGCAUAACUUCCACGAUGGAGCGUAACUUCCAUGAGGAGUGGCGUUGAAGGUUUUAGGCGGGAACGGUUGAGAAGUGGGCAUAACUUCCACGAUGGAGCGUAACUUCCAUGAGGAGUGGGCGUAACUUCCACGAUCAUGGUUACAACCACUCCCCCCACUACUUUCAACCGACCAAUAAUGUGGGUUGAGAAGACAUCACUAUAAAUAGUAACUUCAAAGCCUGUAAUAAAGGUCUUUCUCCAUCCUGAACGAGAAGACCACCUUUAUUUCCUCUGCAUUUUAUCGCUUUUCUAGGAGUAGUUUAAAUGUAAUCUUUUUUUUUUCGCAUUUACUGCUUUCCUAGGAGUAGUUCGCUAAGUAAAACUCUGGAGUCUGUCUGCCCCACAGGCAUCACUCCGUUUUAGACUACAUUUGCAGAGUCUGUCUACCCCACAGGCAUCACUCUGUUGUAAACUAUAUUUCUGAGUCUGUAUGCCCUUCGGGCACACUCUUUUUUAUUAUUAUUAUUAUAUAAAGGCGUUCAACUCUUUCAGCCGACCAGUCGUUGUGUACUUCUUCCAUUCGGCUCUUUCAGCCGACCAGUCAUUGUGUAUUUCAUUUAUUCGGCUCUUUCAGCCAACCAGUUACUAUGUACUUUUUUCAUUCGGCUCUUCUGCCGACAUUGAUCUCUGCACAGUUCAUACAUUCGACUCCUCCAGCCGAACCGAUUUUAUAGUAGUGGUUUUCGAACCCGGCUGGCUCGAUCCCUCGUCAGCCGAAUCGCUUGAUCUGUCGAAGGGCGCAAACUUCGAGGGCCACUAUCCGUAGCCGUUCCUCACCGCGACGCACUCCCCGAGGAGGAUCUUUGACCGGGUCAAGGGUCGGAAAAUUCAGCUACCAACAAUCACGAUCAUAAUUCAAACUGUAUAUAUUCUUAUUUGACCAUAAAAUAUAAGAUAAAUAAAUUUAUGAUAAAUUAAUAUUGUAUGCAAGAUUUUAAAUCCUUAUGUGAAUAUGUGAAUAAAUUCUAUUAUGUUCACGAUACUUUAGUAAAUAUAAAUAUUCCAACGGAUCGAAUUUAGAUGAAUAAAGGAGCUUAAGUGUGUAAUGUGCUUAAAACCGGAUGCCUACUAAGCAAAAAUUUGCGAAAGAAACCAAAUAAUAAAUUAAUAAUGGGUUCAGUCUUGAUAGGUUCAACUCUUGUCCGUAUCUGUAAACUACUAUUAAUUUUUGUGGGAUUCAAUCUCUCUCCUUAUUUUAAGGAGAAAAGGUGAUCCACUUUUUCUCUAAAAUAUACAGAAUAAUAUCUUAAUUAAGCAAUCCAUCACGUAGAAUAAACCAAUCAAUAUCAUGGCUAGAUGCAACUCACGAGUCCGUACUAUUACAUUAAUGGAUUGGCCAGUCAACUUAAUCCAAUUAAACAGUUCGACGGAUUCAAAGCUAACCAAAAUAUGGAUGCGGCCAAUUCAAAAUAAAUUGAUCCUAUUCAUCAUCUCCUUCCAUUAUUAUGGUUUCAUUCAAAAACCUGAAACCCAAAACAGGGUUAAUCCCUGCCAUAUCAAACAUGGACGACGUUGUCGCGUGCUGCAAAAGCCACAGAUUUACAAAAAGAAGUGGAUGUACGAAAAAUAAAAACGACCACCAAUUUGCAGAAGAUGAUGAAUAGUUUAUAAAUUGUCCUAGGCCAAAUCAAAACUAGCGAUGAUCUAAAUCCGCAUGGUACUUUUCUUACUUCAUUCCAAAAUUCAUCAUAAUUGAAUCCGAUUAAAUAAUGCAUACAAUAUAUAAUUUUUCGUUCAUGUUCUGAUACCAAUUGUAGAUUUAUAUCGGUACAUAAAACAACAAUAGAAUUAAAUAUCAAAAUUAUAAAAAAAAUAAAAUAACUCACAGAGUGCGGAGAAAAAAAAUUCUUGAUUAAUCCGUGGAAGCAAAAAGUAUGGUUGUGAUAUGAAUAUCAUCAACCGAACUUGGGUAAUUUGGUUUCUACUUCUGUCUCAGGCACUCUCUCAUAUGGUGUGGAACAUAUAGUAAUUUUUUACCAGAAUGUAUAUAAGAAGGUGGCAAGACCAAUAUCCUUUUAUAUAGAGUUCAGAUCGACUUGUCAUUAAACUCUGAUUAGAAUUCUAUUAAAUUUAAAUAGAUGAGAAAUAGAUAAAAUAUACCAUAGUAAGUAAUUUUAUAUCUAUUAGAAUUGACCUUUAUUUAUUGUAAAUUCAAAUUUAAAUAUUGGUUAGUUGGGCCACAUUUAUGAAAAUCCUAACUGCAUGAACUCUAUUAGAGACGACUAUGCGGCUCAAAAUGUCAUUUUUUUCUUCCUAUCGCAACAAAAGUUUUCUUUCUUCUUUUAUUUUUUAUUUUUUAUUUUUUAUUUUUAUUUUUAUUUUUUUUACCAGGAACACUAUUAGAGGCUACAGCUACGUACUUACGUCACAUCUAUAAAAUAAUGAGACUUCAAUAUAUCAUAUUUUCUACAAUUAGUAUAUGACCAACAUAAAACUAAUGGGAGUACAUAAGAUACGUCCAAUUUAGCAUUAGAUUUCUGGAAAAGCGCAACUCUUGAGCAGAAAAUUCUGAGUGUUGAAAAAUUUUUCUGAUCUUUAAUUAUUACAAUAUUUUUUAAAAAUAAUUUGAAAGCUUAAUUUUAGGUUUAGAAAAAUUUCGAGAAAGAAAAUAAAUAACAAAUACGGUAAAGAAAAGGUUUAGAAAAGACCUGUGGAUCGAUAUGUGUAGAGCACUGUCCUAAAAGUGAAAUUAUCCCUCUACGUGCAAGGUUUUUUCGUAAUUACUUGCAGCGAUACAAUGACCAUGUUCCACCCCGUCGGCACGAUUUCAAGGUAGAGCAAAACGAACCCAACAAGCUUCAGAUCCAGCAAAGCAAACUCGGCGAAAAUCAGCGCAUACAAUCAAUGGCGAGAAAGCAAGAAAAAGGCGAGGUAGGGUUUAGGUAUACUCGGGUUCUUCAUGAACUCAUGCAAACCUCCUCCUAUCUACAUAACCAAGGCGAGAAUCUUGCUUUCACCGCAUCAAAUCCGUGUAAAAUAAGAUAAGCCUAAGAUUAUACGGAUAAGGAUUAGGAUUAGGAUAAAGAUAAAACCGAAAAAAUAAAAUUAAAAAUAAAAUAAACCAGGUGUAUGGACCGCGAGCGUCGCUGCCCUGUCAAGGCCCUUUUUGGUUGUUAACGGUCCUGACUUUGUCAAUAAUACUGAGUUUGUAAAGAGUCUGUAAAUGUUGCGUCGGGCACGACGCCGACAUAGGAUUUUCCUUGUUUGGGAUUGGCAUUGCUUAUAAAUUGGCAUCCGGUUGGCUACCCACGGGUUCACUCGUACUACACGUCUAAGGGGGCAUAGGUAUUUCGCUAACGAUGGUUGCUUAUGCGACGGAUUGAGCCAGACGCGUGUCGGACAUGGAUCGGCGGCCUAUUUUCCCAUAGGUGUGCGCAGUGGGGAAAACGUAUCCCUCGGUGAGCACCUUUGUACCCCGGGGUGCCAAAUAGGUGGAUGCCAAUAUAGAAUAGUAUGGGAAGGUUGGGUGAGACGUAUUAAGUGAGUCGGCUUCGCUAAAUGUGGAGUGUCUUAGUAAUCAUUUUGCCCUCAUCGGCCAUGCCCGACCGAGUCGUGUGCCUUUCGCUUAUAGUUCAACUUUUCGUUAUUAAUAAAAUACUCGUUGUUUGUGCCAAUUUGCAGGACCCCUUUACAUGCUUUCUCUCAAUUCUCGGUCGUUGCCAAUUUGCGAAGUUGUCUCGAGACGGUUUGGCUGGCUCGUUUGUGCAGGCCACGAACGAGCGCCGCACGGGUUUUCCGACAAAAAGUCAUUAGACCCGUGACAGCCCGCCUUGCUCGUGCCAUGCGUGCAUUUAAACGAAAACAUAACUCUCAUUUUCUCCCAAACAACUAGCUUGAAAAUAAAAAAAUAUAUAAUACCAUUAACACCCUUUUAGUUUUCAAUGUGGGAUUAAACCUCACACAUGAAAACUUACGUUGGGCUCCCAAGCAAGGCCCAUUAAUAAUUAUUGGGCUGCCCAAGAGGCCCUAACAAGUUUUAAAUCACCAAAAUCCAAUAAAAUCUAAUAUUGAGUUUGAUAACUUUUACAAUCAGAAAAAUAUUUAAACGGUCAUAACUUUUCGCUCGAGUAUUCGAUUUUAACGUGCAACUCUAAUUUGGAAAAUAUUUUUCGAAAUCUACGUGUCAAAUGUGAAGCUAUUCAGGCUGAGUUUGAGACCAAAAUUUAAUUGUUUCAGCCUCCAUUUUUACAUUUUUAGGUUUUCUCCAAAAAAUUAUGUAUUUUUUAUAUUUUGAAUUUGAUUAUUUGAUUACUUCUAAUCUGAUUAGACUAAGAGAUAUAUUAGAAUCUUCGUCUAAUAGAAUUCAGGUAUCAACUCUAAAUAUAGACGUGGCGUUCCAGUAAUGUAAUGAGAUUUAAGAGUUGAUUAAUAAUAUUUUCGUUUUGUCGAAGAAUUAGUUCUUCGUUUAUCAUCUUUUUUCGUCCUUGUACUUAUUCCCUCUCAAGGCUUAAGUCAACUUUUACCUUCGAAACCCGAAUGAUGUUUUAGAAUAUUGUGAGAUAAAAAUAUGACUUGUUCAAAACCAUAAGUGCUUUCUACAAUUGGCAUACUUUAGGUACUUUCUCUUUCUUAACAAAGCUGUCAACUAGGAAAGUUGUUUUCAUAUCCGUUUAAAGAAUUUUGGAAUCAAAAUAAGCCAUCAAAAUCCCAAAAAACAUAUAAAUAUUUAAUUUUGGAUUAUAGUUGGAAAGUUUUUAAAUAAUCAAUACAUUUCUUUAGGUGCACUCUUUACGUACAAGUUUGGCAUUUUAUGUUUCAAUAACUCGGGCAUAUUUGGUGUACUUUAAACAAAUUGGCUUGCAUUUCCAUACCUCAGAUUUAACUUGUACAGAGUUUGUUUUCUUUUAUAUUCCUUCAAUUGAAGUUUAAAUGGUGGUAUUACGUUUAAGAUUCAUCUUCAAGGUCUUCCAUCUUACUAUAUAUGUACUUUUUCUUUGAAAGUGUAACAUCGCGUGAUCUUCUGGUAAUGUCCUUUCUCAUUUAGAACUGUUGAUAAUUCGCAACCUACCCUAAUACCUUUUGCUGUAAACCCCAAACUCACUCUGAUAUCAGUUAUUGGCAUUCCAUUGUGGAAGCGUUCAAUCAGAUUUUUACUAUAAACCUAUCUAUUCAGCAAAAGCUAACAAAUCACAAAAGGGAGAAAAUCAAAUAGAAAAUAUAGAUAAAACAAGAUUCACUAACCAAAAGUAGACUACAUUCGACUCCUUUUCUAUACAUUGUAGUUUCAACCCAAAGCCUCUUUGUGAAUCUCUCUCCGCUCUCUCGUGGUCUAUAAGUCCAAAAAAUUAUCUGCAUUCUCUCUCGCCUCUCUCCUCGUCUGUAAGUCCAAAAAAUUAUCUGCAUUCUCUCUCACAUGCAAACUAGCUAGGUGCAUGCAAACUAUGCUAGUGCAUGCAAACUAUGCCAAGACUCCCCCUAACCUUGGGUGUACAGACCACUCACCUCUGCCUUACUCCUUGCACGAGAGCAUCCCACCACUACAAGAAAAUUAAUAUUGAAGGAUGCUUUUUUUUAUUUAUAUUUAACGAUACUUAAAAGCGUUCUAAUAUAGUCUAACGUCAUAUUUGAAAGCGUUGAUUAAAGCAUUGGUAAAUGAAGAGUCGACACACACACACACAUAUUUUAUAUAUAUAUAUAUAUAUAUAUAUAUAUAUAUAUAUAUAUAUAUAUAUAUAGAGAGAGAGAGAGAGAGAGAGAGAGAGAGAGAGAGUUGGGCUAGAAUACUAUUAAUAGCAAAAUGUCUUUUUUGCUAUCAAGUUUUUAGCCUUUGGAUCAAUUUCUUUUAUUAUUUCUAACUAUUGGAUUAAAUAUAAUAACCCAGUGGGGACCACUCAACCCUAGGGGACCACUAGGGUUGGCAAAUGAGCGAGCCGGCUUGUGUUCCUCUCACGUUCAGCUCGAUAUUCGGCUCGCUCGAGCUCGACUCGAAUUAAUUUCAAGUCGAGCUUGAGCCUAAAUCUAGGCUCGAAGUUAAUUUCAAGCCAAGCUUGAGUAUUAUCGGGCUCGCUCGAAUUAGGCUCGAAAAGCUCGAAAUAUAUAUAUAUAUAUAUAUAUAUAGAAAAAGUCUACUAUAUUAUUAAUAAUACCAACCACUUGCUAUUAGGUCUUCUGCCCUUGGAUGAAAGAAUGUGUGGUUAGGAUAAUAGUAAUUAGAAUGUUUUUCUUUUAUCAUCACAUAAUAAUUAUCUAAGGGCCAGAAACCUAAUAGCAAGUAGUUGAUACUAUUAAUAAUAUUGUAAUUAAUUAUAUACUAUAUAGUAUAUAUAUAUAUAUAUAAUAUUAUACUAUAUAUAUAUAUAUAUAUAAUAUAUAUAUAUAAUAUAGCUAGGGCUACUAUAUAUAUUCUUAUGAAUAUAGGACCUCUUUAUACUUAUAAAUUUUGGCCGUUGGAUUUGCAUUAGGAUAAUAGUGGUCCCUAGGAGUUGAGUGGGUGGUUGGUUGAAUAGUAUAAUUUACGGAUGGAAAUGGUCAAAAGUAUAGAUCUAACGAUAAAAAACUUAUAGUAUAAAGGGUCUAUAGUAAUAGAGUAAUAGUAGCCGAACUCUCUCUAUAUAUAAUUAUAUAUAAUAUAUUUUUUAAUUAUAUAAAUUUAAUAUUAUGUAUUUUAAUUAUAUGUAUAUAGAAUUUAGAUUAUUGGACCCAUAAAACCAAACCAGUAAAUUCUACUUUAAUUGUCUCUCUUUCUCUUUUUCACGUCGCUCAUAGAGUUUUUUUCCUAUUUUUUAUAAUAUUAUAAUAUCGUAUUUCAUAGCAUUCAUUUUGUAUAGUUGAGCUAUUAGAUCGUUUUUGUAUCAAAUUUUAAGAUAAUAUUUUAUAAAUUAAACUAUAGAUUGCACGAUUUAGAAUUUCAAGCAGCUCGUUUAGGCUCGAUCUCGCUCGACUCAAAAUUAGGCUUGCUCGACUCGUCUCGAAUUAAUUUCAAGCCGAGCUGAGCCUAAAUUUAGGUCCGAAUAAUUUCAAACUAAGCUUGAGGCUGAGGUAGACUCGCUCGAGCUCGCUCAUUUCACCCGCUAGGGACCACUCAACCCUAACUUACUAAUAUCAUUCUAACCCUAUAAUUUCUCAUAAAGGUUAAAAACUUAAUAGCAAAAAGAGCAUUUUGCUAUAAUAGUAUUCCAACCUGUAGUGUCCUAUGUUUAGCGGCCUGUUUGUUUUUAGCAUCGAGGCUUGUCGACACGUCUGGAGAGUGUCGGAAUAAGUCGGAAUCAUUUUAGCGGCGGAAUGUACGCAAAACGGACUCAACUGACGUGAGAGAGGCAUCUGACAUUAAAAUCUGCAAAAUCAGGAUUUCAGUGUUGAGUAUCGAUCCCAAGAGGAGUACCGUACCUCUAGUGAUGGCAGAGAUGGAAGCUCUCGGUUUCCGCGUAGUUGAUGCUGAGUAACUCGGUAAUUGGUUGUCGAGUACUGGUACGCGACGAGCCCUAGUAUCGGUACUGCAUCGGCGAGUACGGUACCGUAGUGUGCGCGAGCUACGGGCUGAGGGCCGGGUACCGGUAUCAAGCUGAGUACGGUACUCCAGCUGUAUUUUUGAGUAGGUAAGGGCAUGCAGUUUAGUCUUUUGAUUUGGUCGUUCAUUCCUAAUUACCCAACUCUUAUAUGGGGUUUAGGAGGCAUAGAAGAGGAGAUGCCUUCUCCCUCCCCCCCCCCCCCCCCUCUCUCUCUCUCUCUCUCUCUUUUUCUCUCUCUCUCUCUAGCUGGUGGAGUUUAGUCUUUUGAUUCGUUUUAAGCCAAUUAUUGUAGGGUUCCAUAUCUCGUCGACCUUAGGCAUUAUUGCCCUCUGGGGGUUGGUCCAUCUAAUUACUUAAAUUUUUUAGGACCUCUUACUCUGCGAGAACAUAUUGAAUUUUACAGUACCAAAUAUCAUAAUUGUUAUCAUCUAAUUUCUCGCCUUUAAUUAGAUCAGCAACAACUUGUUUGGAGGCCAUUUUAUCUUACUAAGUAAGCACAGUGCAAAAAAAGAGAUACUUAAAAUUAGCACACAAUACUUAUAUUAAAUUUUAUCGCAUCUAUAAUUAAAUAAACUAAAAUUUGGAUCAUAGGUGCGCAAAGAAAAAUUUCGCUGUACUCAUAAUCACAUCAUGCACUCUAUGCCAAAUUUUUAAUUAUUUAAUUAAGUUACACAAAAUAUUUGGAAGUAAAACAUACGAUUUACUCUAACAAAAAAAAAACUCCCACUUGAAGUAGCAUGCAUAAAAAUACACCAUACCAUAAGCAUCAUCCAUAUAUCAUAAAGGCAUAAAAAUAUUAUAAUACUUAAAUGUAUGCCAUAUAUAUCACAAAAUCAUAUUAAAUCAUAUAAUAUGCUUAAAAAUAAAUUUUUUAUUUUAUUUUCUUUUAUUAAAAGAAAAUUGUGUGCCGAGCUCACACGCGGCUCACGCGCCCGUUGCGCGAAGCACGCGCCUGUCCAUGGGCACACGUGUGCGGCCCAAGCCCAAGCCAAAGCGCACAUCUUGGCGUGAGUGCGACUGCAUGCGCCCCAGUCGGAGCCGUGGGCGCGCAUCCACGUGGGUUCCGUCGCUACAGCCCUGAUUUUUUUUAAAAAUGAAUAAAUUUUAAAAAUUCAUAAUUUUAAAAGUACCACUCCAAAUCUUACCAGAAAUAUAUUAAUAGAAAGCUUGUGAGAAGCUUUAUCAAAUCAUGUAUGUUUUAUAAUGGGAUAUAUAUUAAGAGUUGGGUUUAGAAUACUAUCGAUAGUAAACGGGCUCAUUGCCAUUCAUUUGUUUUCAAUGAUAGAGCCUCUAAAAAGAUAAUUGGCACUGUUGAAUAUGAUUUAUACCACUUGAAGUGUUUAGAAAUCAAAUUUCAAAUCUUUUCGAUAUCAUUUGCUUAAUGAUCAAAGGGUUUUAAAAUUUGUAAUUUUAAUGGUCGAUAUGAGGUGUUUUCUCGUUUAAUAGCGUAAAGAUAUCCAAAUCAAUUGAAUUUUUGUUAGAAAAUUCUUUAAACUAUUUAAAACAAGAUCUAUACUCUUGAUCUUGACUACAUGACUCCUAUCAUUAUUUUUUAAAAAAUAUUCAUUUUCAGCCGUUUGUUUUUGUGUCCACUCGAUGGAUAAAAGAAUAAUAUCAAAAAUGUAUGAAAUUUGAUUUCUAAACACUUUAAGUGGUAUAGAUUGUGUUCAACGGUGCCGAUCGUCGAUUUGGAGGCUCCAUCAUCGAAAAUAAAUAGGUGGCAACGAAGCCCGUUUGCUACCGAUAGUAUUCUAGCUCAACUCCAUAGAUUACACAUCGAACAAGUCACCCACAAAUUUUUUAUUUAGAAUUUUAUUUUUCUCAUAAAAUAUAAAUCUAAAUUAAAUCAAAUUUGGUAGAUUUAAUCUACAACAUAGGUACUACAAGAUGUGUAAAUAAUCAUGCAAAUAUNUUUUUAAUUAUAUAAAUUUAUAUUAUGUAUUUUAAUUAUAUGUAUAUAGAAUUUAGAUUAUUGGACCCAUAAAACCAAACCAGUAAAUUCCUACUUUAAUUGCUCUCUCUUUCUCUUUUUCACUCGCUCAUAGAGUUAUUUUUCCUAAUUUUUUUAAUAUUAUAAUAUCGUAUUUCAUGCAUUCAUUUUGUAUGUUGAGCUAUUAGACGUUUUUUGUAUCAAAUUUUAGAUAAUAUUUUAUAAAAAUUAAACUAUAGAUUGCACGAUGUUAAGAAUUUCAAGCAGCUCGUUUAGGUCUCGAUCUCGCUCGACUCAAAAUUAGGCUUGCUCGACCUCGUCUCGAAUUAAUUUCAAGCCGAGCUUGAGCCUAAAUUUAGGUCCGAAAUUAAUUUCAAACUAAGCUUGAGCUGAGGUAAACUCGCUCGAGCUCGGCUCAUUUCCAACCCUAGGGACCACUCAACCCUAACUUACUAAUAUCAUUCUAACCCUAUAAUUUCUCAUCAAAGGGUUAAAAACUUAAUAGCAAAAAGAGCAUUUUGCUAUCAAUAGUAUUCCAACCUUGUAGUGUCCCUAGUGUUUAGCGGCCUGUUUGUUUUUAGCAACUGAGGCUUGUCGACACGUCUGGAGAGUGUCUGAACAAGUCGGAAUCAUUUUAGCGCGGAAUGUACGCAAAACGGACUCAACCCGACGUGAGAGUGGAAUUCUGACAUUAAAAUCUGCAAAAUGCAGGAUUUCAGUGUUGAGUAUCGAUACCCAAGAGGAGUACCGGUACUCUAGUGGAUGGCAGAGAUGGAAGCUCUCGGGUUUGCGCGUAGUUGAUGCUGAGUACCGGUACUUGGUUGUUGAGUACUGGUACCGAGCCCUAGUAUCGGUACUGCAUCGGGCGAGUACCAGUACCCAGUGCGCGAGGCUGCGGGCUGAGGGCCCGGGUACCGGUAUCAAGCUGAGUACCGGUACUCCAGCUGUAUUUUUGAGUAGGUAAAGGGCAUGCAGUUUAGUCUUUUGAUUUGGUCGUUCAUUCCUAAGUUACCCAACUCUUAUAUGGGGUUUAGGAGGCAUUUGAGAAGGGAUCCUUCUCCCUCCNUCUCUCUCUCUCUCUCUCUCUCUCUCUAGCUGGUGGAGUUUAGUCUUUUGAUUCUUUUUAAGCUAAUUAUUGUAGGGUUCCAUAUCUCGUCGACCUUGGGCAUUAUUGCCCUCUGGGGGUUGGUCCAUCUAAUUACUUAAAUUUUUUAGGACCUCUUAUUCUGCGAGAACAUAUUGAAUUUUACAGUGCCAAAUAUCAUAAUUAUCAUCAUCUAAUUUCUCGCCUUUAAUUAGAUCAGCAACAACUUGUUUGGAGGCCAUUUUAUCUUACUAAGUAAGCACAGUGCAAAAAAAAGAUACUUAAAAUUAGCACACAAUACUUAUAUUAAAUUUUAUCGCAUCUAUAAUUAAAUAAACUAAAAUUUGGAUCAUAAGUGCGCAAAAAAAAAUUUCGCUAUACUCAUAAUCACAUCAUGCACUCUAUGCCAAAUUUUUAAUUAUUUAAUUAAGUUACAUAAAAUAUUUGGAAGUAAAACAUACGAUUUACUCUAACAAAAAAAAAACUCCCACUUAAAGUAGCAUGCAUAAAAAUACACCAUACCAUAAGCAUCAUCCAUAUAUCAUAAAGACAUAAAAAUAUUAUAAUACUUAAAUGUAUGCGAUAUAUAUCACAAAAUCAUAUUAAAUCAUAUAAUAUGCUUAAAAAUAAAUUUUUUAUUUUAUUUUCUUUUAUUAAAAGAAAAUUGUGUGCCGAGCUCACACGCGGCUCACGCGCCCGUUGCGCGAAGCACGCGCCUGUGCAUGGGCACACGUGUGCGGCCAAGCCCAAGCCAAAGCGCACAUCUUGGCGUGAGUGCGACUGCAUGCGCGCCCCACUCGGAGCCGUGGGCGCGGAUCCUCGUGGGUUCCGUCGCUACAGCCCUUUUUUUUUUUGAUUUUUUUUAAAAAUGAAUAAAUUUUAAAAAUUCAUAAUUUUAAAAGUACCACUCCAAAUCUUACAAAAAAUAUAUUAAUAAAAAGCUUGUGAGAAGCUUUAUCAAAUCAUGUAUGUUUUAUAAUAGGAUAUAUAUUAAGAGUUGGGUUAGAAUACUAUCGAUAGUAAACGGGCUCAUUGCCAUCCAUUUGUUUUCAACGAUAGAGCCUCUAAAAAAACAAUCGGCACUGUUAAAUAUGAUUUAUACCAUUUGAAGUGUUUAGAAAUCAAAUUUCAAAUCUUUUCGACAUCAUUUGCUUAAUGAUCAAAGGGUUUUAAAAUUUGUAAUUUUAAUAGUCGAUAUGAGGUGUUUUCUCGUUUAAUGGCAUAAAGAUAUCCAAAUCAAUUGAAUUUUUGUUAGAAAAUUCUUUAAACUAUUUAAAACAAGAUCUAUACUCUUUAUCUUGACUACAUGACUCCUAUCAUCAUUUUUUUAAAAAUAUUAAUUUUCAGCCGUUCGUUUUUGUGUCCACUCGAUGGAUAAGAGAAUAAUAUAAAAAAUAUAUGAAAUUUGAUUUCUAAACACUUUAAGUGGUAUAGAUCGUGUUCAACGGUGCCGAUCGUCGAUUUGGAGGCUCCAUCAUCGAAAACAAAUAGGUGGUAACGAAGCCCGUUUUGCUGCCGAUAGUAUUCUAGCUCAACUCCAUAGAUUACACAUCAAACAAGUCACCCACAAAUUUUUUAUUUAGAAUUUUAUUUUUCUCAUAAAAUAUAAAUCUAAAUUAAAUCAAAUUUGGUAGAUUUAAUCAACAACAUAGGUACUACAAGAUGUGUAAAUAAUCAUGCAAAUAUAUCCACCUAAAAAAAAUCGCUAUUAACAUUCACAAGCAUGCAAGAAAAAAAUUCAAACGGUGGUAGAUUUAAUUUUAUGCAUGCAACCUUGGUACAAAAUUAAUAUAGGGCACAAAAUCAACUUAAUAAGGCUAUAAUACCAAUGUAGCACGCAGCGAAAGUAUUAGUUUGUAUUCUUUACGAAAGCGACUCGCGCUAGAACGUGAUGAGCUUGGAUCGUAGAGGUUGAUUCAUGUGUCGUCGGAUCGUCCACGAAAGUCUUCUAACGCUCCAUAUCUACGGUAGAUCAAACUACGAAGGAGCACGAUCUCUAAUCCACCGUUCAAGACCCUUUGGAAUAAGAUGUUAAUGGAGAAUGUGGUUUUUCUCUCUAAUAAGAUGGCUCACAAAUUACUCACCAAUUUAUCAGUGUUUUUCUUUAUUUUCCUUAUUUUUUCUAUGAGAGAAUAGCCCGUAUAUUUAUAAGAGAUCUCAAAAUCAUAAUAGGAGAGUAAGAGAUUUAAGCCAAAUCGGUUUAUGUUUGUUAUUCUAAUUUGACUAGAAUUUAUCUCUAAUUAGCUUUUCAAUUUAAAAGCGAGAUUAAAUCUAGUCUAAUUAGACAACAUAAUAAUCGUCGGAUCAAGUUCGAUCAUGGGCGCACCCAAUUCAGUUUAACCGAAUGUCAACAGCCACCAAUCUUGAUUGUACUUCUCCACUACGUCUUGUGCACGCAUUUUCUUUGCUUAGUAUACCCAUUUUACUCUGAUGGCCUGGUUCCCCAUGGGAAGUGUAGUCAGCUCCCAUACUUAGUUCUUUUCAAUCGCUUUGAUCUCAUCAUUCAUGGCAUACUUUCAUUUUUCUUCACGGAUGGCUUCUUAGAACUCUAAAGGUUCACUAUCAUGCCCCAGGUUGCAGCGGACUCGGCUAAUUGCUAACAGAUCUGCCGCAUACAUGAAAAACCCUAUGCACACGAAGCAUCUAACAUGCACAAAUAAAUACAAUCUACAACAAUUGUAGACAUUAGAGCUGGAAAAGAACUAAUACAUAGAUGUAACCAUAUUGUACAUACAUCACUACCCAAAAAUACAAUGUCACCUCAAUGUACAGAGUCAACUCUCACAACUGAAAUAAAGUACAAGCUAGCCAAGCCAGUCUAAUAUGUACAGUACGUCUCAAAACUAAAGUCCAUCCAGUCCACCUCUAUCAUAGUCCAUAGGUAGAAGAUGCUAUCUAUCCUGCGAUCCCCUUAUCUCGAUUAGAAACAGCGGUAGCAAGUGUAGAGGGCUUUGCAAUAAAAGAUCAAUAACGAAGGGCAUGAGAACUAUAAAAACAAGUAGUCCUCAGUGGAUAGCGUCAUCAAUGACAACGGCCUUCUCACUAGGCCUACCAGAGGAAUUAGCAAUAAGAGCUGCUGGAUAGAAACAAGAUAACAGGUUACUGCGGGCAUGAAUCUACCAUUACUAUGUGUCUAAUCUGUACUUUAGGAAAUGAAUGCAUUAUGUAUGAUAUGCAUCAACUAGCUACGAUGCUGUCGAAAUAAACCCAAUCAUACCAACUGGCUUGAAGGUCCAGUCAAGCCCAUGCUAGCAUCAAGUCUAAUCCCUACCAAAUUUGGUCGGUCGUUGAUGCAAUAAUAAUAUAUACUAAAUCAAGUUGCUUAUCUCCGAAGUGGCACUCGAGGGAAGCGAUCCGCUCGAGGAUCAAAGUAACCAGAUCAAGCAUAUAUACUAUACUACUGCAGGUUAUAAUUGAUGUGCAUGAUCAACCAGAUGAUAUAACCACCAAUGAAGUAACCUCCGCACAAUCUGAUGCAAUAAUAGGGUCUCGUUCAUCUGUACAAACCCACGGCUACUGCAAAUCAUAAAGUCUUAAACCCGACACCACCUAAUUUCCCGGGCGAAAUAACCCCCUAUCAACUAAUCCAACCCCCCAAUCCCUGCGCACAAAAUAGUCCACACUGCCAAACCCCUGACCAACAACUGGGACAUGCAAGAAUAAUUAAACUAAUGCCAUUAUGCCACAAAAACAGCUGGUUCAGUUGCAAGACCCAGUGAUAACAUAGUAAACACCAUUUGACUUGAUGCAUUAAGACGAAUUGUAAAUAGUGCAUAAAAGCUACAUUCAGGUACAAGACUUGUUGGCAUUCGGUUAAAUCGAAUCGGGUGCGCCCAUGAUCGGGCUUGAUCGGACGGUUAUUAUAUUAUCUAAUUGGAUUAGGAUUAAUCUUGCUUGCAAAUUAGAAAGUUAAUUAGAGAUAAAUUCUAAUCAUAUUAGGAUAACAAUUAAUAACCGAGUUGGCUUUAUCUAUUACGCACCUAUUAGGAUUUUGAAAUCCCUUAUAAAUAUACGGGCGAUCCCACAUAAAACUAAGAACGGAAAAAGAAAGAGAACAAGAAAAACUGAGAGAAAAACAGAGAAACCACAUCCUCCAUUAACCUAUUAUUCUAGAGGGACUUGAACGGUGGAUUUGCGAUCGUGCUUGUUUGUAGUUCGAUCCACCGCGGGUUUGGAGCGUUAGAAGACCUUCAAGGACGAUCCAAUGACACGUGAAUCAACCUCUACGAUCCGGGUUCAUCGCGUUGUAGCGCGAAUCGCUUCAGCAAAAAGGUAUACGAACGAAUACUUCCGUUGCGUUCUACAAGACUAAUUAGCUUCUACUAACAGAGAGUCUCUAGUUAGCAUCAUAACCAUGCUACUUCAACCACAAAAUAGGACGCAUGCUGGAAUUGCAACUAAUAGACAUACAAGGUAGCACACUGUAUUCGAUGAACUAAAACCCACCUCAAUUCCAGCGAUGGGAUAAAUUUAGCUUCAAGGAUGAAGAUCACUGCAAGACCAGCAAGAAGGAACUCUAGGAACCAGAAAAACUAGCAAACAAACCUACUUGAACAACCUAAAUUUGAAUUGUACCAAAAUUUGAAUUCAACACACCACUUCGGACAGGAACCAAUUGCUUAAGCACCUUUCCCAGCUCAAACUCAAGUGGAAAAUCCAAAGAAGAUUAGAUCGAUGCCUCUAUCCCCUCGCAUUGUUUUUCUUAUCUCCUCCAUUUAGAUUUUUAUUUCUUCUUAUAUUUCUAUUCCUCAACCUUCAAGUCCAUGGCCACUGCCACUCCUAUAUUCUCUACCAUGACCAUUGUUAAAUAUAAAAAUGUUUAAACAUCGUUAUCUAACAGCUUAAGCUUUUAGAGUACAACGGUUGUUUCACAUGGUAUCAGAGCAGGAGGUCCUGAGUUCGAGUCACGCCAGGCUCCUAACAUAUUAAUUUUCUCCCAUUUAAUUUAAGCCCACGUCAUGGGCCGAUUAAAAAGUCUCGAGCCCAGAUGUGAGGGGGAGUGUUAAAUAUAAAAAUGUUUAAACAUCGUUAUCUAACAGCUUAAGCUUUUAGAGUACAAUGGUUGUUUCACAACCACGGCCUUGCCUUGACUGUGAUUUGAUGAGUAUUUGUCGAUCUUUGAUCCUUCCAUUCCUUCCUUCAGUAAGAUCUUUGUUUGAAGGGCUUGUUCUAGAUUUUCUUAUAUCUUCUUUUCAUCCGUUGUUCAUGAGCUUUCAAUGAUCACAAGAGUAGAUCAACUGUCAAUGCAUGUGGGUCUUUUGCCUCUUUGGUUGCUACAACCACAUAUUUAAAUUUAUUAUUAAUGAAUGAAGAACUCUUUGAAAUAUCUGUAACUUGUCUACUUUUCACUGUUUUGUCGAAAUUCGCUCACCAUAAUUGCAUCUUCAUGUCGUCAAGUUUGUCUCUUAGUCUUUGCAGGAAAACUCUCUUUAUCUUUUGUACGCCUUUGUUGAUCAUGGUCCGGAGGAUCUCCCCUACUUGUUUUGAGGUGGCAACUGUUGCGACUUUUUCAAAAUUGGCAUAAUCCGGGUGCAAAUAGAUGAUGAAGAGGGUUUUCUUAUCCUCUUUCUUGACUUUUUGAGAGCAAACAGUUGACUUGAUUGGAGUAGGACUUUAUUUUGAGGCUCAACGUGGCCUCUCAAAACUACCUCCCAGAUAUCUUUAGAUUUGAACAGAGCCUUCAUCUAUAUAUAUAUGCUCUAAUUAUCGUAGAUGUGCUUCAUUAGAUGAAGAUCUUGACAUUGCAUGCCAUUGGACAUCUUGUUGAAUUAGGCUUCUUUCUCAGAUAUGCCGCUCUGAUACCACUUUGUUGCAAUAGAUAUUAUAGAUUCAAAUGAGGAGAUGCACUCAAUUGGACGAAAGAGAAAACUUUACUAAGCGGAGAUGCUAGCUAUGCCCCCGGUUGCAGCUCAUACAAUUCAACUACAUCUAUAUAUAUAUACAGCUCGAACUUCAUUACGAUAAUUACAAUCUAAACUUCAUAUCCCAACUUUAAUAACAACUUAACUUUAUCCAAAUCCUCCUAAUAAAUUAAUAAACGUUAUUGACAUUUGGAACUAAUUAUGAGAUAAAAACAUUAUCAACUAGUUAACAAAUUGAUAACAUUUCGACUAACCAAAUUUAUAACUUUCCAAUACUUUUGUUUUCCCUUGAAAGAUAAGUUUGUAUACUAAUCAAAGACAACAAUAAUAAAGUUUUUCGAUUGCACAUUUUUGAUAAGCAUAAACUUUUGUCACAACAAAAAAAACAAAAAAAAGGUAAAAAAUCAAUUCAAGGAACAAAUUGGCUAGACAAUCCAAUCCCAUAUACUUAAUUAUAGACUGCACAGAAAUAAGUUUUAGAACCAAUUGAAAUAUUUGUGAAAAUUUAAAUAAUAAAUCAAGUUUUAUCCUUAGAAAUUGGUUUUCUUUGUUGUUACGAAAAGUGCUACAAAAACUAUUGUUCCUCAAUCAUAGAUUUAAUAAUAAAAUUUUGGUAAAUUUAACAGAAUAUUUAGAAUUGCGUGAUUUAUAUGUACAUAGUUAUGCAUUAUCGUUUACAAAGAAAUAACUUAUAUACUAAAGUGAGAAAGUGAAUAAUAGAUUUUGAGUUUCUCUACAGAGCAUAGUAACUCUAGCUAUUUGUGUUUUACAUUGUUUUUCCUUUGGAAAACUUCAAAUACCACCUCUGUAAUUUUUCACUUUCUCACUUUAGUAUCCUAUAUAUGGUUUAAAGUGUAUCGAGUUAGUGCCUUGUUGUUUUAUUUUUAUCUUUUAAUUAUCGAUUACACUAAUUUUUUUCGUUAAAUUAGUGACAAAGUUUAAACUAAAGGAUACUAAAGUGAAUAUUCGAUAAACUUAGGUGUGGUAUCUGAAUUUUUUUUGUAUAUAAUUUAACGAAAUAUUAACCAAAAAAGCUGACGAAAAUAUAAAAAUGAAAUCAUGACACUAACUUGAUAUAUUUUAAACCACAUUACACUAAAGUGAGAAAGUGCGAAAUCACAGUAGUGGUAUUUAAAGUUUACCCUUUUCCUUUAUAAUAGAAAUGAGCCAGAAUUUUCAGUAUGCUUAGUUUAGCAAUGAUUUUCUUAGUUAAAGCUCUUCACAAAAUGAGUUGUAUGUUCGUUCAAACUAGAUUUGCAAUUAUUUUGUCCAUUAUGCAGAGUUAUGGCCCGAAAUUAUUAGUAGUGAAGUUUGAGUUUCCCAUCUAGUAUAGUAAUUACCUUAUUUGGUUUUCUUUGUUUGACUUAUUUUCUUCUCAUUAUAGAAGUGAGAAAGAAUUUUCAAUAUUCUUAGUUUAGCAGUAAUUUUCUCUGUUGAAAUUCUAAAUAAAAUGACCUGUACUGAUGUUGUCUCAAAUUUCAUACCAGAUAAUUUUCGUAACAAAUCAAACAACUGAACGCUAGUUAUUAAAGCACGUCAUAAACUGUGCUAGCUAGUUAUGUUGCUUGCAAUUUAACCAACUUCCUAGUGUAGACAAGAUCAAAAGUAAAGUACGUUUUCCUUUUGUUUUGCCAUAUAUAAUUUUCUCCAAUUUCAAGAUCAAGAUAUUGUUAUGUAUGCUAAAAAAAGGCUAGAAUUUUAGCUUUGAAGACCAAUACAUGCUUGAGUGCAGGUACCGAGAAACUGUGAAAGCUCCAUCUGUCGUCUAGGUUUUGUUUGAUUAUCCUUAAAAAUCUUUCACUCUUGUUAAUAUAUUUGAAUAUAAAUGGUUAUUGGUGGCAUGAAUCUAUUUUUUAAUUCAUUUAUUUUUUAAAUUUGAUUUGUUUUUUAACUAUAUUUCUAAUUUAGAUGUACCGCAAAUAUUUAUUAUAUGUGUUCCACAACAUACAAUUUUUUUUUAAUGUGUACCCAAAAUUUAAAACUUUAAUUUGAGUUUGAUUGCAAAAUUUAAAUUAAAUUCUAAAUUUAUAUUUAAAUUUGUGAAUCAGCUCAAAUUUUAGAUUUAAUUUUUAAUCCAUUAUAAACAAUUGUGAUUUUAUAUGUCUAUUUUUAAACCAUUCGAUUUUUCAAACCUGAUUUGAUUUUAGUUAUUUUUUGUUUUUCCUUGUAAUGUGUAUGGAAUAUUAUUUUAUUCCAUUUAAGAUUUCAUAUUUGCCUACUCAAAAUUUCCUAUACACUUUUGUAUAUAAUAUAGAGAGAUAUAUGAGAGAGAGAGCUCGUGUAAGGUCCCGACCGGGUAGCAAUAGUAACUUGUUGGGCCCAAAUCAUCGACUCAAAAUGCUUAGCCUAAUUAUUAUUAAUAGGGUUUAUGGCUCCUUAUAUAUCCAAUCAUAAUCUCGUUCCUAUCCAAUGUGGAACUAUUAGUGUCAUAGACUUCUCGUUCAGGCCUUGACAUCCUCGUCAACCCAAUGUUCUACACAACUCAAGACUAUUAGGUGAUGUGAGACUUGUUUCGCAAGUCUUGUCAUUCAAACCCUAACAGAGUCUGUCAUUCAGACCUUAACUCAGCCGAGGUUCAUCUCAUGCUUCCAGCUGGUUAUUGGUUCUGAUACCAAAUGUAAUGACUCAACCGACCCGCUAGUAAUAAUAACUUCUUGGGUCCAAACUAUUGGCCCAAAAUGCUAUAACCAAGUUAAAAAAUUUAGCCCUAUUAUAUCUCAUAUAUAGAACUAUUCCAAAUCAUUCUAAAUCCUGAGGUGUCAUAUUCUCCCCCCUUUUAAAUUCUGACGUCCUCAUCAUGCUCAAGCGCACUCACAAGUAGCAGACAUUAUGAAACUCAUCUUGCCAACCCACAACGGUCAUUAGCUAGGAGUCGCACUCUACUAACUAUAUAACCUUGGCUCGGUCAAAACUCAUCUCAUGCUUUUAGGUGAUGAUUGACUUUUAUACCAACUGUGAUGCUCCACUUUCUACGGGAUCACCCAUCCUAGGACUAUAGUUCUAGUAUGCUUAACCUUCUUAACCACUGGGGCCUAGCCAUCACCCAAAAUGCUAUAACUAGGUUUAGAAACUAACAAGUACCAGGCUAUGUGAGACUCGUCUCACUAGCCUUGGCAGGCCUUGUGGGGAGCCACUCUCCAUCUACAACGAUCGUUAACUAGGUUUGAAUAAUAAGUCUAGCGAGACAAGUCUCCCAAACCGGCCCUAACAAAGAGAUUUCAUACAUCAAUUCUCAGCCAAGAACCACCUCUUGAACAAAAUCCAAAAACUCUUCCAACACUAUUAGUACUAAAGAAAUCAUCUCAAAAACCCUUGUACAUAUCUCUAAACCAUCAAAUCUUACCGCCACUAGAGUCUAAUUUGAUAGAACACAAGAGGGAUUCAUCCAAGAGCUCUCAUCCUUGAAUUCCAGCUCAAAACCCAACCUUGGAGGAAUUAAAAGUGAUUAGGAGGAAAUAGGAACCAAAAUGAAGCUAUAGUAGUAGAGAAGAAGCAAGAAAAAUAGAUAAAGAAGAUGGAGAAAAAGAGGAAAAGAACUAGGGUUCUUUAGUGGAAGGGGAUAGAAGAGGUAGUUGAGGGUGAGGAUAAUCUUACAGAGUUAAAACAUUUGCAUUUAAACCCCUCAACCCAAGAAAGUUAGAGCAAAACAUUCUUUCAACUCGCAAUAGGUUUCAAGCACCCAAAACAUUUUCAGGUGUCCAAAAUUUCAUUGUUGACUCAGCUGCUCAUCGGUUCUAGACGCCUCUUUGCCCAUCCGCACCAUUCCGAGUGACCUGAGCUCUCAGAUUGAGCAUUCUAAUCUAUUUUUGGGCAUCUGAUUUACCAUCUGAAAGUUUUUAGGCAUCCACAGAGAAAUGCGAGCACCCGAAACACUAAAGUCCCUAGGCUAAACACCAUUUCCAAGCACCUGCAUCCACAUCCGAGCGUCCAAGAGUUUACAACUCUAGUUUUCUGCAGAAAUUCAUUCCGGAUUCUAUUUUUGCUUCCCUUUCGUGCCAAAACUAACCGAGUUCAUCUUGAAAGCCUUCAAAGCCUCUUAAAAAGUUUCUCAUACUAUUUCAUACUAAGACCUUGCUAAUUUGCAAAGGUCUAGUUUAUUACAUCCUAUUCUUCUAUAACAAAUUUCAUUCUCGAAACUUAAGCUUUAUGACUCACUCCAAAGUUUAAAAUAAGUGAGGGCAGCACUACCGCAUUAAGCUCUCCAACUUCCAAGUAACCUCAUGCUCCUCAUGGUUAUUCCCUACUAAUUUCAUAUAUGGAAUAUUUUCCGAAGUUUGUUUUAUUCCUAUGCAAGAACAUGAACUAGUUGCUGUUGGUAGCUCAAGUCUUUGCGUAGCUACAAUGGAGCAAAAUGGAUAAUGUGAGAAGGGACAACAUAUACUUUUGUAGUGCUGAUACAUGAAAUACGUCAUAAACUUUUGCAUGGUUAAGUGGCAAGAUAAUCCGAUAUGCCAUGGGUCAAACUGUUUUCAGCACUUCCAGGGGACCAAUGUACUUGAGAAUUUGUUUCCUAUGCAUUUCAAAUCACUUCACCCUUUUUGACCACGACCUUUAGGAACGUAUAGUAUCCAACCUGAAACUCAAGGUUACAUUGCCAUUGAUUAGAAAAGCUAUUUUGUUGACUUUGAGUCACCAGAUAUUAUCGUGCAAUUCUAACUAUUUCUUCAGUUUCCAACAACACAUCAGGUCCCAAAGUUGUCAUCUCACCAACUUCACUCCGAUGCGAAAGUGAUUGACAUUUUCUUUCAUACAAUGCCCCAAAGGGAGCUAUUUUAAUAUUUAUUUGAUAGCUAUUAUUAUAGGCAAAUUCUGCCAUUUGUAAAUGUCGAUGCCAUCCACCGCCAUAGUCAAGAACACAAGCUCAAAGCAAAUCUUCCAAAAUAUGAAUUGUCCUUUCUGAUUGUCCAUCAGUCUGUGGGUGAAAUGCUGUAGUAUAAUUCAAUUGUGUCACACCCUGGGGCUCUUUGGAAAGUCCUUUUUAGAAAAACUAGCGAAAAACGUGUAGAUUUUUGUUUUUAGCACCUUUGAGAAUAUCCCGUGGAUGUACACAAACCCGCCACAUCGACAAAGGAUUUCCUAUACGAAUGGACAAACUCUCCUCUGUACAUGAACGGCGUAGCACCAUAAUACAAGAUCAAGCACAUAUAAUAAUCAUUAAACAAUAAUAAUCAUAGGACAAUAAUUAUUCACAUCUAUCCAUUCAUAUAUAUACAUUAACAGGUGAAGAACUAAACUAACCCAACAUAUAUGAAAAGCUAAACCAAAUACUAGAAGAUAAGGGUCUAAGAGGACAAAUCAGGAACACAGCUAUCUAGUAUCGCCCUCUCGCACCAUUGCAAUCCUCACCGCUCGCGUCACCUAAAAAAAUGGCGGGUGAAAACAUAUAAACACGUCUCCCCUCCCAGUGGGUACCGCAAGCCGACGAAGGCGAGGUGUACUCACUGGCAAAAGGAAGAGAUAACUAUAAACAAGAACAGAUAUCAUAAGGAUAGUAGUAAUGGAAUAGUAACUGGUAAUAGAUGCAAAAGUAAUCACUACUGUAAGCUAAGGUGGAAAUCAGCAACUAGGCAUAAUCAACAUGUGCACCAGAACAAUAGUAAUAAUGACUAAGGCUUCAUUUGGUUCGGGUAUAAGCAAGAACUAGUUAUACCGGAGAUAGGUACAAGAAUGGAUUUUCGUAGGAAUAAGGGUAUUUUUUUGUUUGGAUGAAAAUGUGAGUAUAAGCUGGAACUAGAAAAAUUAUGUUUGGAUGAAAAUCUGAGUAUAAGGUGGAAUAGUUGGUAGUUAUAGAUAGAAAAUAAUAAUUUUACCUCUAUAAUUGAAUUUAACAUUUUAAACUAAUAAUUUUAAAUUAAAAAUUUUAACUUUUAAAUUUUAAAAUUUGAAAUUAAAAUUAAAACUUAUAAUUUUCAAAAUUUAAAUUUUAAAUAUCAAAUUUUAAAUUUAAGAUCAAAUUUAAAUUUGAAAGAUAUAAAAUAUAAAAUUUUAAAUUUUAAAUCUAAAAAAUUAAAUUUAAAAUUUAAAAAUUGCAAAUAUCAAAUUUAUAAUUUAAACAUUAAAAUUUAUAAUUUAAAAUUAUAAAAUUAAAUUUUAAACAACUAAAUUAUAAAUUUUAGAAAUUAAAAUUAAAAUUAAAAUUAAAAUUAAAAUUAAAUAUCGCUCUCUCUCUCUCUCUCUCUUUCUCUCUCUCUCUCUCUACCCGGGAGGGGUGGAACAAGUGUUCCACCCCUUGUUCCACCCCCCACCCCCAAAAUUGUGUUUGGGUACAAGAGGGGGGAUAACUCCCUUAUCCCCCCCCUUGUACCCAUUCCAAACGAGGUGUAAAAGAAGAACAACGGUCAAUCAAUGCAUAACCAUCCGCUAUUAUAACGAACAAUAGGAUACUCUAAUGCAUCAAAAGGUGAAUAGUACUAACAACCAAAUCAAUUUCCCUAUGGGUUGAAAGACCUCAGGCUGAACCACAUCUUGCUCGCCCGCCUAGCAUAUAGCCCUAACGGGCACCUUGUAGGGCUUACGGGUCAAAAGUAUGACCACUUUUUCAAAAAAGAACACCCUUUUGUGGUGGAUUAGAUCGCUGAUGUACGUGAAUAUGCUUAUGAACUGUGGCAAUCGAUGUAAAAUGCUUAAUGGCUAACAACGGUAACUAGCCGAAAGAGUAAUCCACAAAGAGUCAUCGACCAAUCAGGUCCAUCUCUAUCUAAGAGUGUCACCAACCAUCAGGUCAACUAAUGUCAAGUCAUACGAUAUACCCCUAGAAGUGUCACAACCCACAAUGUCAACAAAUGUCAUAACAUGCAAUAUACAUCUAGGGGUGUCACCAAGGAGUGUCAGCUAAUGUCAAGUUAUGAAAUUAAUAGAUAGGGUGUCACUGACCAUAAGGUCACUAAUGUCAAGGUUAUCUUCUAUCAACAUGCAAUGGACAAUUCAAUCACCAAGUGUCACCACUCUAUCACUAAAUCAAAAUAAAAUGAGAUAAGAGCAGGUGUAGAGCAAAUAGCUACGAAGUCAAAUGAUGUACGAAAGCUCAACUAGUAUCAAGUAAAUGAAAAGAAAUAAUAGGGAUAGAAAUCACUGAGCAGACACCACUUUAUUGAUUUCAGAUCGAAGUAUCCACCUCUACCGCAGAAUAAAACUGGGUCGUUGACCCCACGUCGAUGCUACUCACAGUCCGAAACUAUGCAAAGUCCCAAUCAAAACCGUAAUUAGCCCAAACCCGCUAAUUAUAGAAGCUUAAGGUUCUAUAUGAAUCCGAACAGGUGAACAACCGGGUUUUCGAAUUCUGUUCAACGGUCAUCGAAAGAUUGCUCGAUUAUCGCAACGACUCAUUGGAACGUCACCCCAACCAACGAGGAGUCCCGAAACAAGAAAAAUACGUAACCCACCUUGCUUGCCGUCCGAACACAUCAUUUAGUGCUAUUGGGGCAGCCGCACAAGUAGUGCGCUAAAACGAAGAACCGGGAUCCCGAACAUCGCCUAUUUGGCUCCUAGGAUGCCCAUUUCGGCACUGGGACCACAUGCAACCCUCUUGCUAUGACCAGCGGUGUCAAAUCUCAUACUAAAACCAGCCAAUAAGGCUCAAACUCUGCUACAAACAGCAGCGAUGAGUGCGACAAGAGACCGCACACAAAACAACCCGAUUUUCAUAUUUCAGGAUUCCCAUAAAGCCCCGAAGUGUUUCAAAACACUCCGUGGGUCAAACGACCACCCUUGCUGUCCCAAAACACUUUUUUUUGAGUGUUUGGACAACCACACACUGAGUGGCGCAAACCGGGUGCGAAAUCUCCAAAAACCGUCGUACCGGGUUCCUAGAAAUCACAAUUUGGCUCCGGAACCCACUUAAGGUCCCGCGCUGGUCUGUGCUUCACACCAGCAAGGUUCCAACUAGCCAACGAGGCUACCGUACCGCUGCAACAAGCAGCAACACUCGCUCUGUGAAAACGGGACCGAAAUCGCAAACAAAAUACACCCAAAUCACCGUUUUCACAUGUCGACCACCACAAAAUCCCAAUUGAGGGGUUCUUGGACUUCGAGCAUCAAGUUUGAACCAUUCAUGGAUGAUCCUAUGCUGUUCAGGAUAGCAACGACGCAAAAAGGGUCAUUGCGACAUAUUAUCGAGCACUCGGCGUGCUAAAAUUACUAUAUCAAAGCAGCUUUUUGAGUUUUUGUCUGCCACCACGAAUGACGCACCUGGCACGGUCGAUGGAUUUCUGCUGUGGGGUAGUAUUCAUGAUUCAUAUUAGUAUUUAUAUGUAUAUAGGUAUCAGGUAUUGCAGGUCCAUGGCUUCCAAUAGAUGCAAGCAUCUACUGUUAAUUACCCCUGUGGCAUUGGGGCACCUUCGAUUAAGAGACCUUUAUAGAGAGGAUGGGAUGAAUUGUAUCUUAAUUUAUUGAAUCAUAGGUAUAUGUAUUAGGAUUCAGUUGGAUUUGAGAUUGACUAGAUCCUAAGUAUAUGUGUUAAGACCUAGUCGUUAUUAAAUUCUAUGUAUUAGAGUCUAAUUGGCUCUAAAUAUAUGUCUUAGAGUCCGAUUAUAUUCACCUUGGUUGUAUAUUCCAAGGUGGAGAUGUGACCAUACACCAAAUAUAUGUAUUGAGGUAGGUCGGAUUUGAUAUUACCCGAAAGUAGAGAAUGGCUAAUUCCUGAGUGUAUGUAUCAGAAUUAACUGAGUUUAAUAUAUUUUUCACUCUAGUUCUAUGUGCUAGAGUGAGGAUCUGACUAAGCCCUAAGGUAUUAUGCUAGGGUUCGUUGGAUUUGAUUUCAUGAGCUCUAAGUAUAUGUAUUAGAGCUCAAUUGGGUAUGGAUUUCACUCUAGGUAGAUAUGCUAGAGCAAAAGGCUGACUAGACCCUAAGUGUAUGUGUUAGGACUAGUCGAGCUUGGUUUGACUUCCACUCUAGGUAUAUGUGCUAGAGCAAAAUGUUUACUAGACCCUAAUAAGGAUAUGUGUUAGGGUUAGUCGGAUGAACUCUAAGUAUAUAUGUUAGAGUUCGAAUGAACAUGAUAUUAUUUGACUGAAUUCUAAGUAUAUAAUUUAGAACUCUGUCGAUUUGGAGAUGGUUUCGCUUUAGUUAUAUGUGCUAAGGCGAUAGAGUUGACUUAGUCCUAAGUAUAUGUAUUAGGGGUAGUCGAUCUUGUAUUUGAUUUCUACUCUAGGUAUAUGAGCUAGAGUAAAUAAAAGGUUCAUGAUCAACUUUGGGCAUGAACUUGAUGCACGGUUCAUGAGAUUUGGGUAUUGGUGUAUAUGAUUUGAAGAUGAUUUGGUUCAUGAGGUUAAGGUAUAGUUCAUGUGGUUCAUGAGGUUUGGAUGAGGUUUGGUAUGUGGUUCAUGGUUUGGUUCAUGGGGUUUGGUUUAUCGUUCAUGAGAUUUGGUUCAUGAACUGGGUAUGGUUCAUGGGAUAUGGCUUGUAACAUACCGAAACCUCGAUAAUUAAAUUCGAAUCUCGGUCAAAUUGGCCAAAGUGCGAGGUUUGUACGCUUUGGAGAGGCCAGAGGCGUCAAAUAAUGCAGAAGUGCAUUUCGGGGGACCUUCAAGAGCUUUGGAAAUCAAAAUAUGCAAACUGAAGGUUUUGUGCUCUCGGGGACCGGUCUUUCGUGGGAGAGAUCGGUCCCCGAACGCGUAGGCAGCGAGGUGGCUGAGAAAUCGGCUAAGUUCUGAAAAAUCAGCUCUCGGGAACCGGUCCUUGCGAGGAGAGACCGGUCCCCCAGAGACCGGUCCCAUCGAGGGAGACCGGUUGCAUCGCGCGCAGCCUGCGCAGUCCGCGGGAGGAGCUCUUGGGGACCGGUCCCAGGUCGAGGAGACCGGUCCCUAACUGCGAAAAAUGCCUAGUUUGGGCAGUGCACAGGGAAUAAAGUGGAGGGGUCUUGUUGUAAAUGUUACAACACCUUAUAUACCCAACCCCCUCUCCCUCUACAGCCAUGCACGCACACACACACACACCUCUCCCUCUCAUUUCCUCUCCUCUCUCUCUCUAGAAAUCACCUAGGGCUUGAAGGAGAAGAAGAAGAAGAAGCUUGAGGAGGGAUUUUUGGUGGACUUGGUGGGUCUAGGAGCUCUCCAACAAGAAGGAGCUUGCUAGAACUUGGGCCAAGAUAAGUUUUUAGCAUGUAGAGCUCUAGGGUUUGGAGUUUAACCUUAGAUUUUAGAGUUUUGGUCUCUUUAGAGGCUUUAGAAGAGUAGUAGAGCUUUGAACAUCAUGAAACUCUAGUUUUCUUCAUGGUGCUCUAAUGGGGGAUUUCUAGGGUUUGCAUUUUUAGCCCUAGAGUGGUUAGGGUGGUUCUAAAUGAGCUUCUAGAGAUUAGACAAGCUCUCUUUUGCUUAUGUUAGAGAUCAAAACCUAGGGUUUAGCAAUGGGCACCAAAUUUGGGGCUUUUGCCCUAGGAUUUUUCAGGGGCGAAUUGACCUCGUAGAAAUCUAAUUGGGGGUGUUCUCGACGUGUUGAACAACUCCGUUCGACGUUACGAUAAUGUUUAAGUAUGGUUCAUGUACAAAAGGCCUAAAGUGGCACUAUUUUGGUUGUAGGUCGCGGUAUCGGCUUUCGUAAAGUUCGGGAGUCGUCAUAUUCUACACCCACGCGACCACUCGAGGUGGGUGGUGCAUUCCAAGGACCUCGAAAAUCCCUUUAUGUCUAAAGUGUCAUGUUUGAAUGUAUAUGUAUAUACUGAGCAUGUUGCAUAGUAGGGUUAAUUGUGAGCUUUUAUUGUAUGAUUGUGAAUUUAAUUUCGUAUGAAAUACUUGUAAGAAUGUGAGAAUUAUAAUCCUAUUUAUGCAUGACAAGUGAUAAGAACCUAGAAGGGUUAGUGAACAAAAGUGACACAUGGACAUAGAUCUAGUGAGUGACAUUGAUGAGUCUAAAAUACUUAGAAAAAUAAGUGUGGCAUUUGGCAUGAGAACAAGAACAUAGCACUUAGAAAAUAAGUGUAGCAUGAGUACAAGAACUUAGUAGUGCAUAUGACACUAGCGAUAGUAAAGAAUGCAAAGAAAAGAAUGAUUGAGACAUUAUGAUAUUUCAACCUUAGAGUUAAGGGUCAUUGAGCAUGGUCUUCCUUAAAGUUAAGGAAUGGAUUGAACUUGGAAUCCUCAAUGUAGGAUUGAUCGUACUCACCUUUAGUCCUUGCUCGAGAGUGGUAGGUCCCCCUCGGGCGAUGUGCUCCGGAGUCAACAUUACUGGGUCGUAGCGGGUAUCUCCCCAGAGGACGGUCCUAUCGGGUUGUAGCGGGUAUCUCCCCGGUUAAUAGGAUUUUGUGUUGGUGAGUUUGUUGAGGGCGAAACCUACAGGUUAGACAAGAGAUUGGGUAAAAAAAUUGUGAUCUUGCAUUCAUCCUGAGCAUUAUAUCGAGCAUCGCAUUUUAUAUUGUUCAGGCAUAUUAGUUGCAUUUGUUAGUUCGUUACUUUCUUUCUUCUAUUCUAUUAUGCCUGAUUAGACCUAGUGGGAUAGUCGGCGUGGUUGGUUACCGAACCCACUGAGAACUUUAUUGUAGUUCUCACACCUCUAUUUCCACAGAGCCAGGACCGAGCGAGCCGGCAGACGACCGCGGUAAGGGCAUCGCGCCCUAGAUAGAGACCGCCUGAGAUGUUUUAUUUCUUAGUUGCAUACCCUUUUGAUAUAUCAUCUUUUGUAUUUUGAUGAUUAUAGUUGUUAAAAGAAAGGACAUGAAUGAUGUAAAAGAAUUUAUUUAAUAUUAAUGUUAUAUUUUGGAGGAAUGAGAUGUAAAAUAAAAUGAUGAAAAAUUAUAAUUGAUUUCCUAAGUGUAGUUUUUUACUUCACUAUUGGCUAUUGCUUGCACUCGUGCAAGCCUUUGUGUACGCUUCCGCUUAUGCAAACUUUAUACUCUAUUGAUACUUGUUGUUGAGCCUUGGGCGGACAGGAGAGGCUCUGUCCGUUCGGCGUCUGUUCGACGCUCUCGAACUGGCCAAAAGGAUCGAGCUUGGGGCGUGACAGAUAAGAUGGUAUCAGAGCGUAAAGAGCCAAAAAGUAAAAGCAUAGGAUGGACCUAGAGACUCUUUGGAAUGGAAAACCUUAAGGAUCUAGGAAACGUGAAUGAUGUUGAACAAGUUAUAGCGAAGGCAUGGAUUGGGUCGAUGUGAUUAUGUCUCUAAUGUGGUUAGGGACUAAAUUUAAGUUGUUAUUUGUUUUCUUUUCCUUGGGUUGUGAUCGGCGGCCGACGACAUGACGCUUUGGAAUGGAAAUGAAUACACUUAUAUGCUUUCGCCAGACUGGGUAUAAUCGACUAUGUUGUCUAAGUAACUAACGUGAGUUGCUUCGUUUCAGAAAGCAAUGCCGCCUCGUGGAUGACCUAAGCUACCUCGUAGUCGACCGCGAACGUGGUCUAUGGCCGAGGAGUCAAGUACGGCUCCCGUGCAACCCGAAGCAGGUGGCGACGGGGAGCUUCGGGAGCAGAUGGCCGCGCUUAUUGGCGUAGUGCGGCAGCAUGCGGAAUCCGUUCAGCGCCAGGUGGAAUCCGUUCAGUGCUAAGGGGAGCAAAUCCAAAGGCUCCAGGAGGCCUUGGAACGGCAGCAAGCGGCGGCGGCGCCCGUGGAAGCCGUGCACCCUGUGCCCCCUGCAGUGGUGCCGAGUGCGGCCGAGGGUGUGGCCACGGCGGCCGUGCCAGUUAUGAUGGUGUCGGCUGGAUCGGGGACCUCAAACCCCGAUAGUGCGGCGGAGGAGGCGGAGCAGGAGCGCGCGUUGGCGGCUCUCAUUCAGUUUCAGAAGUUCAACCCACCUACCCUCGAAGGGGGAGUGGUGGAACCGGCGGUAGUGGAGUCUUGGAUCGACUCCAUGGAGAUACUUUUCGAGGACCUUAACACCUUGGAGAAGGACAAGGUGUACCUCGCCACACAUUGCCUUGAGAAAGCGGCGAAGGUGUGGUGGAAGCAUGUGAGUCGGGAUCGAUCGCCCUAUCUUCCGCCUAUGUUGUGGGAGGAGUUUCGGAGGGCGGUGUUCGCUAACUACCUCCCCGACACAGUGAAGCGGAAGUUGCAAGAGAAAUUUCGCAAGUUGAGGUAAGGAGAUCGCUCGAUUGCUGACUACGAGCAGGAGUUUUCCCACCUCAUUGACUGCGUCCUGGAUGUUGUCAGGGAUGACCUGUACCGAGCGGACUGGUUCCUACGGGGAUUGCGGCCGAGGAUUCAUAGGGCCGUGCAAAUUCUUAAGCUCACGACCUUUGCAGAGGUCAUUGAUCGGGUUUUGUGGGCGGAGCAUGGCUAUGCCCACGAACGCGAGGAGCACGAGUCCGCAGCCGAGUCAUAAUGAUGCUCGUCUUCAUCGCAUCAGCUGAAGGCAUCAAGAGCACUGAAUGGGCGGGUUUUUGCCACUCAGGUGGAAGAGGAGCCGAUUCCUGUCACCGACGACAUCAUGGCAGGUAUUAUCUCGAUCAGAGGCACUAGAGCUAGAGCUUUAUUCGACACUGGUGCAUCGCAUUUAUUCAUAGAUGCAUCAUUCGCUAGGACUUAUGGCAUUAAGAUUGUGCAUCAUUAUGACUAUUGGACGGUGAAUUCAGUCGAGCAUAUUUUUCAUAUUCACGAAGAGUGUGUAGCGUGCCCAGUGUAGAUAGGUGAUUGGGUCAUGCCGAUCGACCUGUUGGUGUUUAAUCAAAUGUGGGGUUUCGACGUGAUCUUGCGGACCAACUGGCUCUCCAAGUAUUAUGUCGUGAUAGAUUGCGAAAGUAAGGUGAUCACAUUUCGUGAGCCUAAUCGAGAGGAGCUAGUAUAUUGGGCAGCUAAAAGCUCGCUCUUCGCGGCGACUGUGUCGGCGGCACGGGUGAGGAAGAUGAUAAAGGGUGGUUGUGAAGCCUAUUUGGCGAUAGUGGUAGAAGCCCCGAAGGAGCGCCCGGAACUUCGUGGUAUUCGGGUGGCAUGUGAAUUUCUGGACGUAUUUCCGGUGGAGUUACCGGGUUUGCCACCGGACCGGGAGAUCGAAUUCGUUAUUGACUUGAUACCCGGGGCGGCUCCAAUUUCGAAGGCUCCGUAUAGAAUGGCACCGGCGGAGCUAAAGGAGCUCAAGGCACAGUUGCAAGACUUGCUCGACAAAGGCUUUGUAAGGCCGAGCGCGUCACCCUGGGGAGCUCCGGUGCUGUUCGUUAAGAAGAAGGACGGCACACUUUGACUCUGCGUGGAUUACCGCGAGUUGAACAAGGUCACAGUGAAGAAUAAGUACCCGUUGCCGAGGAUUGACGACUUAUUCGAUCAGUUGCAAGGGUCAAGGGUAUAUUCAAAAAUUGAUCUUCAAUCAGGUUAUCAUUAGUUGAACAUACGGCCCGAGGAUGUGCACAAGACGGCGUACCGUACACGGUAUGGCCAUUAUGAGUUCACGGUGAUGCCGUUUGGGCUUACUAACGCCCCAGCGGCGUUGAUGGACUUAAUGAAUAGAGUCUUCCGUCCGCUAUUCGACCGGUGCGUCGUGGUAUUCAUUGACGACGUAUUGGUAUAUUCUCGGACCGAGGAGGAACACGAGGAGCAUUUGAGGACCGUGUUGGAAAUUCUCUGAAAAGAGAAGUUAUAUGCCAAGUUGAAGAAAUGCGACUUCUGGCUAUCGGAGGUCACUUUUCUUGGUCAUGUAAUUUUGGGCGAUGGUAUCUCGGUGGACCCGAAGAAAGUUGAGGCAAUUAGAGAUUGGCCUCGCCCGACGAGCGUAUCGGAGGCCCGCAGUUUCCUUGGACUAGCGGGCUAUUACCGGCGGUUCGUGGAAGGGUUUGCUAAAAUAACUACUCCACUAACGUGACUCACACACAAAAGGGUGAAAUAUGUUUGGAGCCCCGAAUGCGAGCGGAGCCUUGAGGAGUUAAAACAAAGAUUGACCACGACCCCGGUGCUUGCUCUAUCGACGCCGGGGGAGACAUUUGUGGUAUAUAGUGAUGCUUCCUAUGUUGGACUCGGGUGUGUCUUGAUGCAAAACGGGCAGGUUAUAGCUUAUGCUUCACACCAACUAAAGACGUAUGAGAAAAACUACCCGAUCCACGACCUGGAGUUAGCGGCGGUUAUUUUCGCGUUAAAAUUAUGGAGACAUUACCUGUAUGGGGAACAUUGUGAGAUCUACACGGAUCACAAAAGCCUUAAAUACUUGUUCACCCAAAAGGAGCUGAAUAUACGACAGCGCCGGUGGUUAGAAUUGUUGAAAGACUAUGAUGUUACUAUUCUUUACCACCCGGAAAAAGCAAAUGUCGUGGCCGAUGCACUUAGUAGAAAAUCGGCGGAAGAUUUGGCUUCGGCAAUUACACCCCAACCGUUGUUACAAAAGGAGAUGCAACGGCUUGGAUUGGAAGUAGUAGCGCUGGGAGUGCCGGCUACACUUGCCGCGUUGGUGGUACAACCGACCUUGUUGGAGAGAAUCAAGGAGUUGCAAGCUUCCGAUGAGUAUCUCCAAAAGGUGCGCGGAGAAGUUGAGAGAGGUAGUGCCGAUGAUUUUAGCAUUGGGAUCGACGGCGCACUCCGGUUUAGAAACCGUUGGUGUGUGCCUAAGAACAAGGACAUCCGCAAAGCAAUUAUGCAAGAGGCGCAUCAAUCUCCUUAUAGUAUACACCCGGGCGGCACCAAAAUGUACCAAGAUUUGAAAUUGCAUUAUUUGUGGCCGGGCAUGAAGAAAGACAUUGGGGAGUUUGUUGCGCAAUGUCUUACUUGUCAAUAAGUAAAAGCGGAGCGGCAGUUUUCGGCAGAAAAGUUGCAAAGUUUACCUAUACCUGUUUGGAAAUGAAAAAAUAUCGCAAUGGACUUUCGUGACCGGGUUGCCUCGAUCUCAAGGUGGACACGAUACAAUUUAGGUUAUAGUAGACCGGUUGACGAAGUCGGCAUAUUUCCUACCGAUUCAUAUUACUUGGUCGGGGGACAAGUUGGCUCAACUAUAUAUCGACGAGGUUGUGAGACUUCAUGGGGUACCGGUGUCUAUCGUAUCAGAUCGAGACCCGAGGUUCACAUCUCAUUUUUGGAGGAGCCUACAGGAGGCCUUAGGCAUACGGCUCGACUUUAGCACGACAUUUCAUCCUCACAGUAAUGGUCAAUCGGAGAGGACGAUACAAAUACUUGAGGAUAUGCAUCGAGCGUGUGUACUUGACUAUAAGGGCGGUUGGCAUGAUCAGUUACCGAUGGCGGAGUUCGCGUACAAUAACAGCUACCAAGAGAGUAUCGCGAUGGCGCCAUUCGAGGCCCUUUAUGGAAAGAAAUGUCGCUCUCCAAUCCAUUGGAGCGAUGUGGGUGAGAGAGCGACUCUUGGCCCGGAUGUGGUGCGGGAGGCGGAGGAAAUAAUUUGCCUUGCCCGCCAAAGACUCACUACGGCGCAAUCUCAGCAAAAGAGCUAUGCCGACAAAUGGCGAAAAGACAUAAGAGUUUGCAGUCGGCGACCACGUCUUUCUAAAGUGUCACCGAUGCGAGGAAUAAGACGGUUUCGGCUCCGGGGGAAGCUAAGUCCCCGGUACCUUGGACCGUUUGAGGUAUUGGAGUGGGUCGGCGCGGUGGCGUACAAGAUAGCAUUACCAUCGAGGCUUGCGGGAGUGCAUAAUGUAUUUCACGUAUCGAAUCUCUGCAAGUACGUUCAUGACCCCAAGCAUGUUCUGUCGUUUAAACCGUCUGAGAUCCAAGAGGACAUGACCUAUGAGGAGUUCCCGGCAUACAUCAUCGAUCGAGAAGUAAGAAAACUACGAAAUCGCGAGAUUCCGUAAGUUAAGAUUCGUUGGUGCAAUUACGAUGAUCGGAAAGCCACUUGGGAGCUUGAGAGCGCAAUGCGGGAGCAUUAUCCUCACCUCUUUAACGAGCUGAAUUGAGGUAUGAGUUUAAGUCUAAAUUAAGUAAGUUUCGCGGACGAAACUAAAUUUAAGGGGUGAAGAAUGUAACAUACCGAAACCUCGGUAAUUAAAUUCGAACCUUGAUCAAAUUGGCCAAAGUGCGAGGUUGGUACGCUUCGGAGAGGCCGGAGGCGUCAAAUAAUGCAAAAGUGCAUUUCGAGUGAUCUUCGAGAGCUUUGGAAAUCAAAAUCUGCAAACUGCAGGUUUUGUGUAAUACACUGAACUUUUGCAAAUUGCGGAGUUCGAGUGUGUAGAGUGGAAGGUGGAACUAUCCUACAUGUUCUAAAAGACUUGGACAGGUUGGUGAACAGAUUAGAGAGUGAUUGGAUGGCUAAAAGCAAGAAAGUGUAUUGCUGUGGCCUUUCCCUCGAAUUUUGCAUUGUGUACCGGUACAUGCAUUAUGCUGUACCGGCAUAAUGCUGUACAGGCGUUAUGCUGUACCGGUAUAGCAAGCAGCAGCAGCAGCAGCGUGGCAGCAUGAUUUUUUUGGUCUUUUGGGCAUCUGAUCUUAUCUCCAUGACUUCAGCUCGACCCCUGGAGUCUAGUGGAAGUUGCUGGAGACCAGAGGAAGCCUCUACGAUCUUCUUUUCUUUCUCUCUCUAAGAUUUUUUUCUCUCUCUACAAAGAAGUAGCCGUUUUGCACCGUUGUCGUCGCCGAGCUCGCUCUUCGCUGUUUUGCAGUGUCGCUGAGCCUUGGUGGAUGUGGGAGGGAGUGUUUUGGAGAGCUUUUCGCAGCCCUGGACCAGUAACUCACUGGUUGCAAGCUUGAGAAGGUAAUCGGCUCACUUUUUCAAUUUUCGGCAAUCUAUUGGACGAGUUAUGUAUAGUUUCGGGAUUGUUGCUUCUAGUUGCUUUAAUCUGAGAUUUCUGCAAUUAAAGUUGGAUGAAUUAGCUGUGAAUUAACCUCCUUAGACCAGGGUUAAGCUAUUUUGAAGCUUAAUGAAAAUAUUUAGCUAAUUAUGAAACUAGUUCGGAACUAUACGAAGUUUACUUGGGCAUUUGAUGCAGUUUGGGAAUUACUUCUUCGCAGCAAGUUCCAAAUUCACAUUGGGCCUAAUUGGUGACCUCGGGAGUUGGUUUAGUAGGUGUUCUGACCCAGGGUAAGCAAGAAUUUCAGCUAGAAAACUGAAAUUUCUAGAUUUCGACUAAUACAGCUUAUAUACAAGCAUAUUGACGCCGUUUCGGUUUUGUCCACAGCGAGAGGGCAUUUGACCCUUGGACUGUCUUUGAUUGGCAGUGGAGGGCCUUUUGGAAGCCUAAUUUGAGGUAUCAAACUAGCCCUAAACAGGGAAUUAAAUUCCUACUUUGCUUUACGUGCGAAUUGUACCGAAAUUGGACAUUUCGGUUAUAGUAUUGACUCGACUCUCGUACCUUGUUUUCAGCAGCAUUGGGGCUUCGUUGAGCCGAUUUUGAGACUUCCUUUGGACUGUUUGGAGCUUAGCAAUAGGUGAGUUUGACCUAACCAGAACAAGUGAAGCUUCUCUAUGUUCUAUAUGUAUUAUAGAAUCAAUAUAAUUGUGUGCAAUUGUGGUUAAUAUAGAACUUGAAAAAUGACACUAUAAUGUUUGCUAUAUGAUUGAAAUAGAAUCUCUAUAAAGUAGGGAACAUUCAUGCAUAGGUAUUCUUGUUUAGUUCAGUAGAACAACCAAGAGAUCCGUUUAUUAUGUUUUUAUGAUGUAGAGAACAUAUAUACGUGAAAGUAUUAUAAUUAUAUUCAAUUCAGUUGAAUGACUUAUGAACAAGUGUAGGAUGCACUUAUAAAGUAGAGAACAAUGACAUUCUCUUGACUCUAAAGUAGAGAACUAUAACAUACUUACGACCAUGUUGAUAGUGCCAUAAUAGUGGAAAGAUUAUAAUGCCAUGUGAUUUAGCAUUACUCUUACAUGUUUACAAUCUAGUGGAUACUAGUUCUUGUUACUCUUUGUGUAUUGAAAUUCCGAUCAGAGAAUCGAGGGUAAGAACAUUGCAAAUGAAAACAUGAUAAUUGAGACAUGUGGACAGUGGAAUAUGCUUGCUUGCCAUCGUGCUCAUUCGCACACGCUUGUGAGGGUAGCUCCCUACAAGCCGGCACUCCGGAGUUGGCCUACGCGACAGUUGCUCGCCCGUGCGGGAUUGGGUGCCGAAGUGGAUUGCCGUGGGGAGUGUAUACUACCACGGGGCCAUUAGGCGCGGCACAAGCUGGACUACCUUGAGUAGAUCCCUGUGAAUGAAAGGAAAGUGCUAAAGAAAGUUGGACAGUAAUGAAUGAUUAUCAGUUACAGUUUACAGUAGUACUUACACAUUUAUGCUUAUGUUCAUGCUUAUAGUAGUUGCUAUGCUUCUAUUAUUCAGUUAAUUCGUUACUGUUGAGACUAUGAUUACAUGUUGCUUACAUGCUCAUUACCUGUUAGCAUUGCAUAAUUAUAUAUCAUGCAAUUACCGCUUUCGCUUUCAUUUAGUACAUCAUGAGCCUAGUGGUGUAAUUCGCCGAGGCUGGCGGCUUACCCACUGGGAACUAUUGUUUAUAGUUCUCACGCCCUUUUGGUGGUUGUUUUACAGAGCCAGCUACAGGAGAGGCUAGGUAUCGUGGCAAGGGAGUCGCGUCUAGCUAGACAUUGCUAGGAGCAUGCUAGUCGAUCACCUUGCUACUCGGACUACGGCCGAGGGUGAUGUCCCUAUGUAUAGAGAGACCACCAUUGUAUCUAUUCUUUUGUAUACCUCGUGAUGUAUAAGUACUUUGUGGACAGUCACUAUGGGUUUGAUACUUUCUCUUUUAGUCGAGAUUUUGGAUUGUACACCUUUUGUUCUUUUGCCGAUAGUAUAUCGACUUGUACUUUGCUUUGAUAUCAGGAUAGGAUUUUACUAUGCUUCUUUCUAUCGACUUACUUCUUGUAGACGCCUUAUAUACUGCAUGUGUAUGGCGGGUCUGUGCACGUACCGGAUAUGCUUCCGCUGAUACCCGUGCGUGACAGAUUAUAGUGGUAUCAGAGCCUAGGGUUGAGUCUUAGUAGACCUAGCAAACCUUAGGCUGGUUGGACUAUAAGAAUAGGCUCGUGAGAGACGAGGUCUAGUCGAGGUUGUUGUUAGCGAAAGUACUUGGAUUUGUUUCAUGGACUUGGAUAUGGUCCAUUGGAUUUGGUGUAUGGGAUUCGGGAUUCGGUUCAGAGGAUGUGGUGUAUGGUUCAUGAGGUUUAGUUUAUUAUUUGCGGUGUUUGGUUCACGAACUUAGUUCAUGGUUUAUAGGGUUUGAUUCAUGAACUUGGGUAUGGUUCGUGGUGUUUGGUUCACGAACUUGGUUCAUGUUUUAUGGGUUUGGUUUAUGAAGUUGGGUAUGGUUCGUGGUUCUUGGUUCACUAACUUGGUUAAUAGUUCACGAGAUUUGGUUUAUCAAGCUUGGUGUAUGAGACUUGGUUUAUGACUUUGGAUAUGGUUCAUAGAUUUGGUUUAUGAACUUGGUUCAUGGUUUAUGAGAUUUGGUUCAUGAACUUGGGUAUGGUUCAUGGGACAUAGCUCAUGAAUUUGGUGUAUGGUUUAUGGAUAUGGUUUAUAGUUCAUGAAUUUGGUUCAUGAGGUUUGGUUUAUGGUUCAUAAGACUUGGUUCAUUAUUCAUAGGAUUUGGUUCAUGGUUCAUGAGAUUUGAGUCAUAAACUUGAUGUAUGGUUCAUGAGAUUUGGGUAUUGGAUUUGUUUCAUGAACUUGGAUAUGGUCCAUUGGAUUUGGUGUAUGGGAUUCAGUUCAUAGGAUGUGGUGUAUGGUUCAUGAGGUUUGGUUUAUUGUUCGUGGUGUUUGGUUCACGAGCUUGGUUCAUGGUUUAUAUGAUUUAGUUUAUGAACUUGGGUAUGGUUCGUGAUGUUUGGUUCACGAACUUGGUUCAUGGUUUAUAGGAUUUGUUUCAUGGACUUGAAUAUGGUUCGUGGUGUUUGGUUCACCAACUUGGGUAAGUUUCAUGAACUUGGUUCAUGGUUUAUGGGAUUUGGUUUAUAGACUUGGUUCAUGGUUUAUGGGAUUUGGUUCAUAAAUUUGGGUAUGGUUUAUGAAAUUUGAACCAUGAACUUGUUUCACGUUUCAUGAAAUUUGGUUUAUGAAUUUGGUUCAUGGUUCAUGAGAUUUUGUUCAUGAACUUUCAUGAGAUUUGGUUCAAGAGUCCAAGUUGGAAGUUGGCUUUGGGUUCUAUUUGUGGUCCGGAUUGGAUUUGAGUUUGGGUUUAGGUGUUUUUAUUUGUGUACUGGUUUUGGUUUUGGGUUUGGAUUUAGGUUUCGGGUUUUGGAUUUGGGUUUUUAUUUGUUGACUGGAUUGGAUUAUGGUUUGGAUUUGGAUUUGAGUUUUUGGUUUUGAUUGGAUUUUUAUGUGGAGUUGGUUUUGAUUUCGGUUUCGAUUUCGGUUUUAUUUGUGGACUUGAUUUUCAUUUGGAUUUUGCGUUGUUUAUUUGUGGACUUGAUUUGGAUUUGAGCUUAAUUUGGGUUUUGGUUUUGUUUGUGGACUUGGUUUAGAUUUUGGGUUCAGGUUUCUACUUUAUUUGUUGACUUAAUUCGGAUUUGGGUUUUAUUUGUUGACUGAGUUUGGAUUUUGGGUUCGGGUUUCGAUUGAAUUUGAUUUGGAUUUGGGUUUGGGUUUUAUUUGUAGACUUGACUUGGGUUUUGGUUUGGGUUUCGUUUUAUUUGUAGACUAAGUUUAGAUUUUGGGUUUGAUUUGAUUUUGGUUUUGUAAUUUAAUUUCAGGUCUGAAGAAACGCUCUUUUGAUUUUGCAAUUCGAUUUGGGGUUCGAAGAAAUCCUCUUUUGAUUUUGUAAUUUGAUUUGGGAUCCGAAGAAAUCUCCUUUCGAAUUUGCAAUUCGAUUUGGGGUCCGAAGAAAUCUCCUUUUGAAUUUGCAAUUUGAUUUGGGGUCCGAAAAAAUCACUUUUUGAAUUUGCAAUUCGAUUUGCGGUCCGAAGAAAUCCCUUUUGAUUUUGCAAUUCGAUUUGGGGUCCGAAGAAAUCCCUUUUUGAUUUUGCAAUUCGAUUUGGGGUCCGAAGAAAUUCCCUUUUGAUUUUGCAAUUCGAUUUGGGGUCCGAAGAAAUUUCCUUUUGAUUUUGUAAUUCGAUUUGGGGUCCGAAGAAAUCGCCGUUUUGAUCUCGAUUUGGGGUCCGAAAAAAUUCCCUUUUGAUUUUGUAAUUUUGAUUUGGGGUCCGAAGAAAUCCCUUUUUUGAUUUUGUAAUUCGAUUUGGGGUCCGAAGAAAUCUCCUUUUGAUUUUGUAAUUCGAUUUGGGGUCCGAAGAAAUCCCUUUUUGAUUUUGUAAUUCAAUUUGGGGUCUGAAAAAAUUUCCGUUUUGAUCUCGAUUUGGGGUCCGAAGAAAUUCCCUUAUUGAUUCUAAUUUGAUUUGAAUCUAAACUGGUUUGAAAGUUUCAUGGAUUGAUUCAAUGUUCUCGAAUGGGAUUGCAGGGUCCGAAGAAACGAAGAAUCUUUGAUUCCCCUUCCCUCUUCUUUCGAAAAUAUCUAACCAGCGAUGCUGGAGAUGACGUCGGUGAAGAUGGUGAUGGUGGCGCGGAUCUGUUCGGCCGGCCGAUUCAGUUCGAUAUUUUCAAAAGAGAUUGAAGGGUCCGAAGAAACGAAAAAUCUUUGAUUCCCCUCCCAUCUUCUUUCGAAAAUAUCAAACCGGCGAUGCUGGAGAUGACGUCGGUGAAGAUAAUGAUGGUUGCACGGAUCUGUUCGGCCGGCGGAUUUAGUUCGAUAUUUUCAAAAAAGAUUGAAUGGUCCGAAGAAACGGGGAAUCUUUGAUUCCCCUCCCCUCUUCUUUCGAAAGGAUCGAACCGGCGAUACUGGAGAUGACGGCGGUGAAGAUGAUAACGGUGGUGCGGAUCUGUUCGGCCGACGAAUUUGGUUCUAUAUUUUCAAAAGGAAUUGAAGGGUCUGAAGAAACGAGGAAUCUUUGAUUCGCCUCCCCUCUUCUUUUGAAAAUAUCAAACCAGCGAUGCUAGAGAUGGUCGUGGCAAUGUAGAUCACCCAUUCCAUCAAUUAACGGCUUCGAAUGGGGUAUUGAGAGGUCCGAUGAAACGGCAAGCCAUUGGCUCCCUUCCACUCUCCCAUCGAAGUCAUCUAGAUGGUAUGGAUGACUACGGUAACAGGACCUAAAAAAAGAAAAAGAAAAAGAAUAGGGGGGGGAGAGAUCUUUUUUUUAUUUUUUGAUAUGUUUUAUUAUUUUCCCUUUUUUUUUUUAUCUUUACCUGUUGAUCAGAUGACGGAUUGGAUGAAGUGGCUCGGCGAUCUCUCUUCCUUUGAAUUUUUUUGUACGUAGGAACGCGUUGUAGCAAGAGUGUAAAUAAUAUUAUCUCUUCUUUUUUUUUUUUAUCGUAAUCGCUCUAUAGUCUCUCUCUAUCUAUUUGUUCUCUCCUCCUUUGUCGUAUCGUCCCCCGUAUUGAUUUUUAUUCUCAUAUUUAUAAUAGAAGGGGCGGCGAGAGAUAUUUUGAGGAGUUGGUUAGGGAUUCAAAAUUUGAAAUAAAAUUUUGAAUUGGUUGUUGGAUGGAUAAGUAUUCAAAAUUCGAAUGGAUGUGGUUGGUUGGGAGAUAUUUUGGGAGUUGGUUGGGGAUUCGAAAUUCGAAAUCGGUUGUUGUGGUUGGUUGGAAGAUAUUUUGGGGGUUGGUUGAGGAUUCUAAAUCGAAUUUUGAAUCGGUUGUUGGAUGGAUUGGUAUUCAAAAUUCAAAUGAAUGUGGUUGGUUGGGAGAUUUUUGGGGGUUGGUUGGGGAUUCGAAAUUCGAAAUCGAAUUUUGAAUCGGUUGUUGGAUGGAUAGGUAUUUUGGGAGUUGGUUGGGAAUUCGAAUUUCGAAAUCGAAUUUUGAAUCGGUUGUGAUUUGUUGGAAGUUGUUUUGGGAGUUGGUUGGAAAUUCGAAAUUCGAAAUCGAAUUUUGAAUCGGUUGUGAUUGAAAUCGAAUUUCGAAAGGGGUUGUUAGGAUAACAGAUAUUUUCUAGGGUGUGAAUAUGGGCCGUCAUUGAUCGGGCCCACUUUAAUAAAAUUUGUUGGGCACAAAUGAUAAUAUUCAAUAGGCUGAAAUGAGGCCCGUAUUAUUA
This 45970-nucleotide long non-coding RNA is filed under the name Ananas comosus (pineapple). RNAcentral's name for it is "long non-coding RNA (ACOM_LNC001054)". The record is from RNAcentral. Lineage: Eukaryota; Viridiplantae; Streptophyta; Magnoliopsida; Poales; Bromeliaceae.